AAUGUUUCCAGCUUGUCUAAAGAGAUACUCUGAAUCUUGAUGCCAUGUCCUGUACAUUCCAGUGUCUCCAGUGCUGCUGAUAUCUUGCCCCCCAACAUUCAGUCGAUAAACUGUCUCAAGCGCAGUUGUGUUAUACAGAAAGGUGUGGACAUCGGGGCCCACAUAGGUCAGUGGAUUAUCAUCGCCACGAGCAUAGAAGCUGUCUGGCAUGGAAACGAUUUCGAUACCAUUAAUGAAGGCAAAAGAUGCUGGAGACGGAAUGAAGGUUAAUUCAAGCUUCUGGUUGUCCCACACGGUGAUGAUGAACUCUUUGGUGAAGUAGUCAACUGGAGGUCUUAUAGCAGAAAUUAACUGUAAGAGAGGCACUAAAGUUGUUUAGUAGCUUGUAGUUGUUGGCACUAAGCGAAAAAUAGGAUUUGGAUAUGUCAAGAUUUGAGUAAGAAGCUGGAUAAAAGUAGAGACGCACAAAUUUUGGGCCAGGCAAGACUGGAAAUGUGUAAGUGAAUUUAGAGUGAAAAAUACGGGCUGUCAUGUAUGGGACUUGGUCGACAGAGGGGUCUUGAGUGGAGGCUUCAAACACAGAUGAGGCUUCUGGGGGGUUAGAGGCAGCAAACUUAGACUGGGAAUCACCAUCCCAGCUGCGACCAUCUGGAGAUGACAAAUUAGAGGAUGCACCACAGUUAAGGAGUAUUAGAUCAGUGGGGCUGUAUGGCAGCAAGUAAUCUUCAGUAGCAGUACCAUAGAGGAAGAGAUGGAGGGGAGGGAGAAGGUAGAGAAAGAUGAAGAUGGACAUUACUAUGCUAGUUCUUUGGUGGAGUAAAUUGGAGUAAGAAAAAAUAUCUAUUAAAUGCAAAGAUUUUGAUUUAAGGGAAGAUAAUCAAUGGUGUCGCUGUCUCCAUACAGUAACAUUUUUGCUCAGGUUGAGAAUAAUCCAAUAAUAUAUUUGAGACCCGUCGGAGAAGAAAAUUCGACGAUAUGGCUAAUGGGACAUAUUGGUCAGCUUUGGAUGGCUGCUUCCCGUUGUGUGGUUCUGAAUUCCGCAAUAAAGCCGCAAUGAACAAUCUAAUUUCAACAAAGGAUCGACCUAUUCCUUUUUGGUUCAUGAGUGUGCCUUUUUGGGCUGAGCUUAUAACCAAAAAUCUUCUCAUCUGGUAUAGUAAUCGCUUACUGCAAAACUUGGUGGUAAUGAGAAAUCUUUCUUCCCCUUAAUCGAAGAAUAAUGGAUUUACCUCUUGAUAUAUCUGGGACAUAUUUGGUAUCUAUUAGAAAAUAAUAUAAAUUAUAUAUUGAAAUUUUAUUUAAAAAUUUAAGUAAUUGGGUUGAGAUGGUUCUUUGAUAUGAUAUCAGAGUCUUAAUGACAAAACAUGCAUGAGAUUAAAUCUCAUCAUUCUCAUCUAUUUGAUAAAAAUUAAGCACAAGGUAAUGUGAGCCUAUGCAAGUUUAAAGCUCAAAAGACUUUCACUUGAAAGAGUGUGUUAGAGAAUAAUAUAAAUUAUAUCUUGAAACCUCACCUAAAAAUUUAAGCUAUUGGAUUGAGAUAGUUAUUUAACAGUACAUAAUAAAAUCAAUAGCAACAGUGAAGAAGAGGCAAGCUGUCCUCUCUUCCCUGGAGAUGGUAAUUUGCUCUCUCUCAUCCUGUUAAGCUUGAUUUCCAUACAUGAGGGGAAACUGAAUGGAGUUCUCGGUGGAUGAAAAAUAAUUGGAAUAAUAAAUGAAAUGAAAUUGAGUUUCAUUGUUGAAAAAAUCAUGCUGAAAUCACUUCAAUCCUAAGGAAAAUACAAGUCUUCUACAAUGAUCAGGUCUAGCAAAUGUUCUUAUCUUGUACAAACACGACACCUAAUGCAAACCUGUGAACAUUCCAAGAUCUUUUUUUAAACUUCAUUGCUUGCAAUAGAUCAAGGAAGCUUCGCCAUUAAUUAGUGCACGAGAAAGACAAUCACUAGAUAUCGUAUCAACAUAGCAAUUGCUUGCUAUUUUCUUCAAUUAUAAAUCAUUAUAAAGUAUAUACAAAUUUUAUUGUUAUUGUUGGGAUAUUGCCAUUAUUGGGCAACAUGUGCAGCCUACCCUAUAAAGAGUAGGGUUACCAUUUGUCAAUGGUAGUUGCACCCACCAUUGAUAAAUGUAUCAACCCAUGUGCAACUGUUGUUGUUGAAGAAGAACAACCACCAUCCUUGCCUAUAAAUAGACAACAAGAGAGCAGAACAAUUGAGAGAGGGAUUGUGAGAAUGUAGAGAGUGUGAAGAGAGAAAGAAAGAGAAGGGCUGCCACCAGCAGCCCUGCUGCCUUAUGCAGCAAUGAGAGAUGAGAGUUGAGUGGAUGUGAUCCUCCUCCAUGUGUUGUAUUCUUUCUCUAUCUCUAAAUAAAAUGAACCUCUCCCAUGGAUGUAGGCGGUUUUGCCGAACCACGUUAAAUAUUGUGUCAGUGUGCUUGCCCUCCGUUGAGCAAAGAUCAGUACAUCACUGGUCGGAUUUCCCAACAAUUGGUAUCAGAGCUGAUGGUUUAAAGUGGUGUUUGAUUUUUGCUCAAAAAAUGAAAGUUGUCAAAAUUGUGUUUUGACCAUACCACCGUGUAGAGGAGGAAGAGACGAAGCCACUGUUGAAAACUGCGUUGAAAUCGGACGUCGGACAUGGCCGCACGUGCCGUCACGCGCCAGCGUCACACGUGUCUUCUUCGCCCGGAUGGGCUGACCCGACCCGAAUACCAGACGACCCGACCCACGUGGCUGACUCGGAUAAGGAUGACAUCAGUAUGCCGUAAUUAUGACGUCAUCAUGCACAGUAGCAUGGCCCAGGAUGACAUCAACAUGAUGUAAUGGUGGCGUCAUCAUGCACAGUUAGCACAUUGGACCCACUAACACGUCAUCAGCCGUGAGCCGAGCUGAUCCGAGCGGCGAGCCGAGGGAUAGGAUUCUGUGCAGCUGAGUCUAUGUGCAAUCGGAUCUGAGAUUGAAUCUGAGCCGUUGAUCAAGCCAGAAUUGUUUUGAUCAAAGCUUAGCCGUCUGAAGUGCGAUUUGGACGAUUCAAGACAUGUUUCCAGCUAAUUUGAUCAUUCCAGAUGCAAUGGUACGGUCCGAUCAUUGAGAUUUGAGACCGAAAAUGGCGGUGGUGAAUUAUUAAAGAGAGAUUGCCCGAUCAGGAGGCAUCUGAGGGUCUUGAUGGAGGUCGAUGAAGAUGAUGAAGAAGAAGGUGCACAUGUUUUCCCAAUUAUAUGUGUUGAACUAUUAAAUGGGAAAAUGUAAUGCCUUGAUGGAAGGCAAAAUUAGGACACUCUGGACACCCAGUUAUGUGGACAAUUAGAGGUGGAGAGUGAAAAUUGACGAAGACCAAUCUUGACGAAUCUAAGCACUGGUAGUCUCGCUAGAUGUUGAGAAAUCAGGUAUAAAACCAAGAUACCCAGAUCACUUGUAAAGGAAAGCCGCAACAAAGCUAGCAAAUGGUUGUAUAUACGGAAAGACAGUACGAUGGAUAGAUAUGGCCUAAGAAGUUAUGUCUAGGAGAUUAGGUUUUAAGUGGGACCGUUGUGACCCCUCCAAUCUUUCCUGGGAACUUGCUUAGUGGAAGGAUUAUCCAUAUGGUACUAUUUUCGUAUAUGUAACAGUUUGUAAUGAAAUUUUUGAAGACUAGCAGGAUGACGCCACAAGGGGAACAAUUGGGUUCCGUAUGAUCAAGGAUCUGAUGGAGUAGUGAUUUCUUCAAAGAAGCUAGAUUCGGUGACUGUGAUUUCUCGAGGGGAGAAUUGAUGAAGACCCUGAUAAUGGAAGAGAAAUACAGCAAGGGGAUAAAGAUUGGCACCCUAUUUUGACUUGGACAAGUGUUGUGACAGGAUCAGCUGCUAUCAAACAUAAGCAAGGAAUAUGGAGAAAUCUGGAGAACAGAAAUUGCACGAGAGCACACGAAGAUUAUGCAGGAGUACCCGUAGGAUCCAACGAGGUACUGUAAUGAGAAGUUUAUUAUGUUGUUGUUGAAGAAGAACAACCACCAUCUUUGCCUAUAAAUAGACAACAAGAGAGUAGAACAAUUGAGAGAGGGAUUGUGAGAAUGUAGAGAGUGUGAAGAGAGAAAGAAAGAGAAGGGUUGCCACCAGCAGCCCUGCUGCCUUAUGCAGCUGCUGCCCAAUGCAGCUGCUGCCCUAUGCAGCAAUGAGAGAUGGGAGUUGAGUGGAUGUGAUCCUCCUCCAUGUGUUGUAUUCUUUCUCUAUCUCUAAAUAAAAUGAACCUCUCCCAUGGAUGUAGGUGAUUUUACCGAACCAUGUUAAAUAUUGUGUUAGUGUGCUUGCCUUCCGUUGAGCAAAGAUCAGUACAUCAUCGGUCGAAUUUCCCAACAGUUAUACUCAUCAAAAACAUGAGUAAAAAGAAAGAAGAAGGGUUCAGACAGUCACCCUACACGUAGAGCAAACUGAUCCACCCAUCUUGGUGGAGCUCACAUAGACGGAUUGGGUCACCUUGCGCUUUAUAGGUCGCUGUUGAAAUCGAAACCCACGCAGACAGAUAAAGAACCGACCCCUUUGUCCCCUCUUCCUCGAUCAACUACCAUGUUUGCAUCGAUUGUAGCAAGUGCAAGGCCGAGAGUUACCAUUGAUCGGUUUUGCACAGUUGCCAUAUAUUUGUGCAUUGCAAAUUGGUUGUCGUUCUAAACUCUUAGGCCAUGUUUGUUUCCUAAAAAGUAGUUUUUGGGAAAUAAUUUUCCAGACUUUCUUAUGUUUGUUUACUAUUAGAAAAGUUGGUCAAAUGAAAACACUUUCCGGUCAACGGAAAACACUUUUUAGUCAAAGAAAAUUUUAGCUUGGUUUUCAGGAAAGUGUUUUCCAUUUUAGCGGUGUUUAUUUUCUGAAAAGUGGUUUCCAGGAAAUCACUUUCCAAACUUUCUUGUGUUUGUUUGCCAUUAGAAACGUUGGUCAACAGAAAAUACUUUCCAGUGAAAGGAAAAUUUGACUUGGUUUUCAGGAAAGUGUCUUCGUGGAAAAUUUGGGCGGAAAACACGUUCCGAAAGUUGUGAAAAAUUUAGAAAUGUCAUUAUUUGCUGAUUAUAUCAAAUUUGAUCCUUAAACUUUUGAUUGCUAUAUAUAUUUUGUUUUGAAUAUUUAUUUUUCAAUUUCAUCUCUUAAAAUUUUUAUUUUAUAUUAACUUUGGUCCUUAUUUUUAUAAUUGCUAUUUUCUUUUUCCUUAUCAUUUUUUUAUUGAAAUUUUUUAUCUAUCAAAUUUGGUCCUCAUUCUUUUGAUUGUUACUUAAUUUUUUAGAUUUGAUCGAUAUUAUUUUGAUUAUUAUUUAUUUUAUUUGAGAUAAUUUAUGAAAUUAUAUUUAUUUUUUCAAUUUCAUUCAACUUUUUAAUUUAUAAGAUUUGUUCCUCGUUAUUUUAAUAAACUUGAGAAAAAUAAAAUAUUAAUAAGUUAUUUUCCAACUCAUUUUCCAUGACAUAACCAAACACUGGAAAAUGUUUUCCAACUUAUUUUCCAUUACACUACCAAAUAUCGGAAAAUACUUUCUCGGAAUUCACUUUCCGAAAAGAAACUACUUUCCAACAAACAAACGGGCCUUAUAGUUAAUAUAGUUACCUUGAGAGGCCAGUAGUCUCUGAUGCACUUCAGAUUCCAUAGAGAACUCCUCUUCAUUACCUUCACCGAUUGUGGCAUUGAAAAUUGGACUCGAGUUUGCUUUCAAGAAAGGCAGCUGCAGAAGCAGAUGUGAUCACCAAAACAAGCAGGAUAGUUAAAGAGAGCCACCAGAGGAAUUCAAUACUUACGUUAGGCCUCGUCUCUUUCUGUCUGUACCCUUCUGUUACAGAGUUUGAAGAGCACUAAAUAAACGUCACUGCGAAGAAUGCUUCGAACUCUGGAUAUGGAGUGAAAGGCUAGCUUUUUUCCAUUGACUUGCUUUUUUUGUGAAGACUUAGGUCUUCACAUGAAUGUGAUUUUGAUGUUUUAUACUAUCUUAAUCUAAUAAUUUAAAUUAUUAGAUAAAAUUAUAAAAUAUGAUAUAUAUUGUUCAAGAAUAUUUGACAAAACAUCCAGCCACUUAUAUAUAUAUAUAUAUAUAUAUAUAUAAGAUCAGGACCAUAAUCUGGAUUUUCGUUAGUGAAUUCAUCCUCAUCGGAACUUGAUAUUUCAUAUAAGGCUUCUUGGAGUUUUUUCUUGUAUUCUGACGUUGAGCUUGAUGAUGCAAGGUUUUCUUGAAUUCAACUUUUAGAGGUGAGAAACGUAAAUUGCCUUCUUGAGAUAGAGUUGAUGGGUAUGCUUGCAGCUAUGGAAUUUGAUGUGAUGAGAUUAUUGCCAAGCAUGCACAAUUUCAGAACAAGCUUGAGCUUCUCUGAAUUUGGGUCCACCAUUUGACUUUGAUUUUUCUCAUGAGAUCUAAAGAGUAACCAAUAUCUUUAUUUACAUCAUUCAUUAUAAUGGAGUCCCAAGAUAGCAUGAGACACCAAAGGUUGAGAUGAAAUAAAAAGAGGUAGGAAUUGAAUUCAAAGGUAUUUUUACUGUAAGCAAUUCCAAUCCUUUGUAUGAUUUUUUAGGGAGAAUCUCACUUAUUGAAGAAAAAUAUUGCCAUCAAUUGUUUGACAACUAAGUUGGAAAAUUCUUUGGAAAUGUUUUGAGAAAAUCUUUCAAGGUGCAGGGUUUUGAUUCAUCUCUUGAAAGGUUAAAACCUUUUGAAUUUUUAUUUUUGAAAAAACAAGAUUGUUUACAUCUUGAUUAUGAGUUAUUUCAACAAAGUCAAUAUCAACCAAAAUAAACUCAUAGAAUUGUUUUGUUUUCAACAUAUUUUCUAAAAUAACUUGAAAAUAAUAGCUUCUUGACUUGAAAGGCUUAAAGCUUUUUUUAGGAAAAAUUUGGAGGGUAAUUAACACAAGUGAAAGUACAAGCAAUGGGACAAUAGCGAGAAAAAGAAAAUUAAUAGUUGAAAUAGAGUAGAGCACAUGAAUUCUAAUUUAUAGUUUUAUUGAUGAAGAGAAAAAUUCACUAUUUCUUUUGCCUCUUUAUGAUGUUUUCAACUUUUUAAAUAAGCUAAAAAAAUCAAACUAAUCAAACUAGAAAACCCUAAAAUAAAGAAAAAAAAUAUUAAAAUUCCUAAACAAACUUAGAGAAAUAAAAUUACUAUUCUCAAUAUUUAAUUUCCUAAACUAAAUAGAAAAAAUAAAAUCACCGAAAAUAUUUUCCUAAACUACAUAGAAAAUAAUAAUAACUAAGAAAUUUUAAUUUCAUAAAAACCCUUGGCAUCAACAAUAAUGUUGUAAAAGGUGUAUUAAUUUUGGGAUUGAACAAACAAGGGAGUUUGGAGAGAUUAAGAAUAAUUUAUAGGUGAGGUGUUUGGACUAGAUCAUGCUGAUGAAAGGAUUCAAAAUUGAUUAUUUAAGACACUAGCCCCAAGGAGGUCAAACCCUCCCUGAAAUAAAUUAAUAUCUUGAAUGCUUGAUGUUGUGGUUUGAAUUGGUCUUGAUGGUGUAAGAGCAUAUGAUUAUUUUGACUUAUUUUGAGCCUAGUAAAGACUCUUUGGAUAAAAGACUCUUUUACUUCUUUCAUUAAUUCAAUCUCCAAAUCAUAUUUUAAUAAAUUAUCUUGUUACCUGGCAAAACUUUGUUUUGACACAAUAUUUUGAAUAUUUUUUUCAACAACUUAUUUUACAUAUUGACAAUUUAUUUGUAAAAGAAAUUUCUGGAAAAUAAAUCAUCUUGAAAAUAUUAGAUGUAUAAAAUAAUUAAUAAAAUUUUCUUUUUGAUAGUUGAAUAAUUUUCUUGAGGAUCCAACCAAAUACCUAAAUGAUAUUGCACUAUAUGUUAUUGACUUUGAAAAUUUUGUUUGAGAAUACCACUGUAACUAAUAUCAAAGGCAUCGGUUUCAACUAUAAAAAAGGCCUCUAGAUCAUAAAGUCUUAAACAUGAAAACUCUUGACUUGACUUUUAAGAGUAUUCACAAUUUUGAUCAUUUGAUGAUUGAUUUUAGACAGGAGGGUUUUUCUUAAGUCUUUUGUACAAAGGUUGACAUAUAGUUCUAUGAUUUGGAAAAAUAUCUAAAACAUAAUCGAGGCAUCCCAUAAACUUUUAAAGCUAGGUUUUACCCUUGAUCUUAUUUAUGAAUUUAAUGGUAAAUUUUAUUAUAGUGACAAGGGUUAUUGAUAAAUUAUAAUUUUUAAGGUUGAGAAAACUAAUCUAUUUUGUUUGAUAAUAUUAAGAAACGUUUGUAAGUUGUUGAAAUGUUUGGUUAUUAGUUUUAAAAAUAAAAGAACAUCAUCUAUGUAUAUAAUCAUAAUUUUGAAUAUAGAUUAAAGAUGUCAUUCAUGAUGCUCUGAAGUUUUGAAGGAGUAAUUUUUAGUUCGAAAGACAUUAUAUCUCAUUUGUAAUGACCAAAUGAAAUAAUGAAUGUUGUUUUAUAAUGAUUUUUUUAAUCAAUUUAGACUUGUUAGAAUCUUGAUUUCAUAUCAAUUUUUGAAUAUAUUGAAGAAUUUUAAAGUCUUCUGAUAAGAUCUCUCUUAUUGUGUAUUGGAUAUCUAAUAUAUUGGAGCACUUUGUUGAGAGGCUUGUGAUUUAUGACAUGUAUUAGUGCAUGAUUAGUACUUAAAAGUGUAUUUUAUCAAUGUUUUAUAUUAUCAUUUUGUACUUGAAGUAUCAAUAACUCCUUAACUAGAGCAUGUUUUAUAAUAACAAGUCUGAUAAUAUAAGAUAACUUUAAUUUAUGGUAAAUGCUCAUUUUAAAUACAGACAUAUCUCACAAUUCAAAGGAUUGAUUGCUGUGAUUAACUAUUGAAAGUGAAAAGACAAAGAAAAGGCUAAGCUUAGAAAGGAGAUGCAGAUUCAAUUCAAAUUGGAACACUGUUAAGUUAUUGGGUCAUAUCUGGAGCUACAGUUCUUGGAUUUCAGUUUGGUUUAUAUGGCUAGAAAAAUAAGAAAUAGGCUUACAAUGUUCAUGAAUAGUGAAAGACCCAAAUCUUCCGUUUUCAAAUUCAAAGUUUGGCCACAAAAGAGAAGUCAGAAUCUGUCAUACAAUCCAGCCCAAACACUUCUCAUACUUUUACCCAUAGCUGGAGUUUUAAAAGGAAAAAUGAUGUCAAAUUUGGUGGCUAGAAGGAUAAGACAAUUUCCAAAAACUUUCAUGAAGACGACCUGCUCCAAUUCUGAUGUUAGAAAUGACAUUUCAUCCAGACAAGAGCUUGAGGGCUGUCCAUUACGUCCACCAGAAGCACUACUCAAUAUUUUAGCCAUAUCUCAAUCUCUAGUGAUCCAAAUGCUCUAAAAUUUUAUGGAUGGAAAGAUGAGAUGAUUGCAGACAACUUUUAUGAAGAACACUUUGCCAAAUGUUGAUUGAAUCAAUGUCAUUUCAUCCAGCCAAAAUGCUUAAGUGUUAUUGUCCACCAAGUCCACUAAAUCAAUAGUUGGCCACUACAUCAAUAAUCAAUUACCAAAUGAAUAGUUCCGAAUUUUAGCCUAUAAAAGGAGACAAUUGCAAUUCAUUUAGGCAUCUUGGUUCUUAGAUCAAGAUCAUGUUCUUGCUCUCUCUUUAAAUUUUUGUAAUGCUUAAGUUUUGCUUUCAUUAAUCUCUUGUUUAUGCUUUUCAUUUUCUUUACUAUACUUAGUUAACUUAUAUCAUGUUUAUGUUCAUAUAUUGUUUAUUUAUGUUUUUAUUUUUCAUAAUGUCGAGCUAAGUUAAUUAUGUCAAGGUGAAAAGGUUUCACUAAUGGUGUUAGAAUAUGUAUAAUAUAAACUCAAUAUGGACUUCAAUGUUUAUAUCCAAGAAAGUUUGUUAUUAAUAUGUCAUAUCUUUUUAUCUUAUUAAUUCUUAAUACCUUGCUUGUUAAAUGGUUAAUCUAGAUUUGUGUUGUAUAACACUUGGUAAAUCAAAUGCUUGAUCCUUCAUAGUCUUCGGUCAACAUCAUUGUUAUGAGAAGAACUUGAUUUGUUGUUAACAUAAGUUAACAUCAUGAAUUCCUGAUAAUAUUUAAAAGUAUGGUGUUACUAAAAUAAGAUAAUUAAUAUGAUCAUGUUAAAAAUUUAUAAUUAACUUUUACGGAUAAAUCAUCCGAUUGGAACCUCCUUUGUGUGUGGUUUCCAAUUGAGUAAUAAAAAGAGUUUAUACUAUACUUAUUUCUAAUACCAUUAGUGGACCCUCUAACCUUGACAUUUAUUUGUAUUAUUGUUUAAUCCUCACAUUAAUCUUAUAUCUCAAAGAUCUCUUUAUAUAUAUAUAUAGUUAACUUUCCUGUGGAUCGACCCCGGUCUUGCUGAGUUAUUUAUUACUUUGACACUCCUUCACUUGAGAGAAGACAUCAAUCUUUUUGUCAUGUCAAUGCACUUCUUUCUAUUUCAGCUUGAUUCCAGACAUAAAAAGGUGGCACAUAACCAUGAUGAUUUACUAGGGCUUAUAAGACACUUUUUGAUUAAUUUGAGGUAAUUUCCAAUUAUCAUUGUACGUGACUUUAUCUCAUUAUCAAAGUUUAGGAACUUGAAUGUUUGAAUUUUGAGAGUUAGCUUUAAUAAGGAGAGUUUAAUUUAUAGAUGAAUUUUUGAGAGGUUUUGGAGCUAUGUUUGUAUCCAUGAUUUUGUAAUAUAUUCUAUAGAUGAUGACUAUAUUCAUGGAAUCUUGAAGCAUAUCAGUACGAGUCUUAACAAGUCUCAAUAUUUAGAGCUAAGGUUUUCACUAUAAUAUCUAGGUUGAAUAAUGAGAUAGUGAAAUUUCGAUAACAAUUCAAGUAUGUAGAACCAUUAACAAGAUUUGAUUGAAAGAUUGUAAGGAGUGAGUUUGAAAAGGUCAUAAAUUUGUGGUCUCUUGAAAACAUAAGUAUGGGAGAGUCUAAUCCGAGAUGAUGAAUUGGUUUGAGUACAAUCUGUAUUAGACGGUGAUCAUUUUCGGUUUGGUUUUUUUAAAAAAACCAAAACCGGUUCAAACCGACCGGUUUCAGUUUGACUCGGUUUUUUCUGGUUUGGAUAUGUUUUUUUCGAUUUAGGUUUGGUUUGGUUUUUCAGUUUCAAACUUAUAAAACAAAAACCAAACCGAACUGGUCGGUUUUUCUGGAAAGAUAUAAUUGUUUCAAAUUGUUUGAUGAAGGCUGGUCUAGAUCAUAAAUAAUUGUCAUUACACAGUGCCGGUCUAACUUGAAAGAUGUUAAUGCCCCAUUAAUUGCGACGCCUAAGCUCAUAAACGAUAUCCAUGAAUUAUGAUGACCAUUAAGGAAGCUCAUAGGAACUCCUUAAUUUCAAGUUGCUUCUUAAUUUGUCUUCUUGGACAUGCAUGUGAUCUAAAGGAACAAAGGGAAAUUAAAUGCUUAAGCAUGAAUGUGAUCGUUCUAUAUAUGUUCGUCUUCAAGCUUUGAAAUUUUUAUAGCUCAAUUAUUAUAAUUUUUUUUAAUUUUUUUAUGUGGGAAAAGAGUAUCAAAAUUGUGGGAAAUAUAUAUUAGAAUAUUUCAUGGACUGCACUGCUCUAUGAUUGUGCAUUUAUAACCCAAUUAUUAUUAUUUUUUCUUUUUCCUGUUGAUUGCAUUUUGGAAUCCAUUUGAUUAGACAUAAUUUGAACUGGAAGAAUGAAUUGGGUUCACCUUCAUUUGUUCUGUUUUAAUGUGACUGAGAGCCUUAUUUUUUUAAAUGUAUUGUCACUCAUUUAGAUACUGGCUAAGUAGAGUUUGCAGUCAGAUUAACAUACAGUAUGCAUUCAUUCCAUUAAACCCUAAUGGAGUGAAUGAAUAAAAUGACUUUUAUUAAAUGUUCCUCUACUACUUGGAUGCUGAACUGGAGUAUUGGAGGUUCCCACAUUGCCCCAUUGUUGGUAUAUUCACCACAAGAAUUCACAGUUUUAUCGAGGGCAAUAUUCCGUCGGUGUGUGAUUGAUAGUACUUCGGUAAAUUAUUUACCGACUAAAUUACCGACAGAAUACGUCUGUCAGCUUACCUUUCAUCGGUGAUUCCACAUUCCGUCGCUUUAUUGAUCGGAAAAACAAAAAAAAUCAUUUACCGACGGUUUUACAGACGGAAUUUGCGUGCCAAAAAAAAAAAGUUUCCCGCUUCAAAAAUACCGACGGAUUUUUAUUCCAUCGGUGAUAUCACAAGUCACCGACGGUUACUUUCCGUCGGUAAAUUAGUCGGUGAAUUGUUGAAAUACCGAUAGAAUAUAUUGUCUGUCAAUUCGUCGGUAACUUGUAAUACCGACGAAAUUAUUCCAUCGGUAAAUCUGUUGGUGAGUCAUGAAAACACCGACCGAAUUUAUCUGUCUGGAAAUUUGUCGGUGAUGGUUGCGGCUACUGUCUAAUACCGACGGAUUUAUUCCGUCGGUAAAUCCCUUUAUAAUUUUUUUUCUAUUUUUUUUAAUAAUUAUUUAGAAUACAUAAUAUAAAAAGGAUAUAAAUUAAUGGUAAUAAAAACCAAUUAUGCAAAUAAAAUUUAUAUUAAGCAUCAAAAACAAAAAAUGAAAGAUAAAUAAUAUUCAUUACAAAAUGAAAUGUUUCAAAAAAACAUUAAAUGAAAUUUUAAAUGUAAAUAAUGUUUAUUAAAAAUUAAUAUAGAGGAGGAGGAGGUGGAGGACGCUGGCUGUUAGGCGGCCAAAAAGGAUUGGGUGCACAUGUUCCACCUUGUGCCAUGUUCAUGACUAUUUGACGAAGCUCUUCAUAGGUCGCUCAUUAUUGUUCAGAAUCUGCUCUGCAUUGUUCUUUGAGUUGUGUGUACGCCUCUGACAGGUGGUCGCACUUUUGCUGCAAGGCCAUGAACUCCUUAGAUUGGGAGCUCGAUACUGAUUGGGAGCUCCUGACGGUUGAAGCAGUAUGGGUCGUCCGCAAGUUGUCGGUCGUAGUGUUGGAGAGCCCGUAAACCCGAUUUUUAUCGAGUCCACUUGAUGAUCCAGCCUCCAUCCACAAAUCCGGAUCGAAUUCCGGAUGGGUCGAAGGAUCGUCCCUGUAUGUCUCCCUCAACCGAUUAUUAUAGGUCUCCUGAAAAUAAAAUAAAAAGUAAUCAUCAUAUUCAAUUCAAUAAACAUAAUAAUAACUUACAAAAUAAAAUUGUUGAACAAACAUACCACAAAAUGUUGAGCACGGCUGUCAACGAACUGUUGCACCCCCUGUUGGCGGUCUUGACUCCGCACGUGCGUCUCCACAAAUAGCUCCAUAGGGCUCGGCUCACGUCCAAGAGACAUAGCCUAUAAUGAAAAAAAUUUAUUAACAACAAAUUAAUUAAACGAUAUAUUUCAUUUAAAUUAAUCUUACCAUCCGUUUUGCAUGUGCAGCAAACGGAACGGAGCCGCCGGUGUGCGUUGUCACCGAGCCAUGAAUUGGCAGAUUCCAGUUGCCAGCACCGGACUAUGAGCAUCGUGUGAACUGCUCAGACGUCACGUGCUGAAUAUAGUGCGGCCAUAUAUCUUCCGGGAAGUAUAUCGGUUUGAAAUCCCUCCAAACCGCAACAUCGUUCCAGCCUUGGAACCCCCUAUCCCUCGCAGGUUUUUUUGCCUUUUUUUAGGCUUCGUACCAAAAAUCACGCAACCUACUUCACGCAAGCAAAAAUUACAUUUCGAAACAUAAAUUUUUUUGUAAAAAAAAAAGUUGUAUUGUUUUCGUUGUUACCUAGUUGCUGCGUGAUUUUCCUACACCCUCCUCACAACAGUGUUAUAUUCCUCGUUCCAACAUAAUCGAUUAUGUGUAUAAAAAAAUAAUUUUUAAAAAUGUUAAUAAUUUAUUUACAAUUAUAUUAAGAAUUUAUUAGAAAUAAGCUGAAAAUUAUAUAUAACACGAACCUGAAAUCUGGAAAACCAUGGAUUGAUUUGAGGCAUCCAUUCAGGAUGCCUGGUUAUCUGACUCCAAUGAAACAAUGGAUUCUCCAUCGAUGAUUUAAACACCGCUGAUAUUACUCGGGCGACCUCAAUGUUUGUGAACCUGAAAAGAAAUGAAAUUAAUUAAAUAGUGACUUCAUAAAUUAUGUUUUUAAUUUUUUUUUUUAAAAAAACUAAAACCUUAACAAACUGACAUUGAAAGAUCGUCUUUUCAUUAUGCCUUGUACUUGCAGGAAAAUCGAUUUCGCUGUGAAGGCACGCCGCUUUUGGGCUGUGAAACAACGCUGGAAGAGGCAGCAUCGGUUGACAGCACAAGUGGUGUAGGUGCCUCUUCUUGAGAGUCACCUAAGGAAAUAUCUUCCUCGCUGCUAGACGAACCUGAUGCGUCCGGACGUGAAGCUCUGGUUUUCAUUCUGUGCAUCUAACCAGUUUUAUAUAAAUAAUUAUAUAAUUAAAUUGAAAUGUUAAAAAAAAAUUCGGCAACACCUCCCCUAUACUAGAUACUACCCAAAUCCACAAACUUGCAAAUAUUAACAAUAGCCACAACCAAUUGACCCAAUCUAUACUAAUUAUUCCAACAUAUUCAAUUACAAAUCCUAAGGUCAAUUCAACAUUAACAAUUACAAUUCAACAAAUUAUUCAAUAAUUAUGCCAAUACAACAAUAAAAUAUAUUCAAUAAAUUAAAAAAUAAUUAUAAACUAAAAAUUAAAAUCAAUGGAAACAAUUAAACACAAAUUAUGCAAUAAUAGAGUAAAAUUACUACGUAUUCCAACAUAUCCAAUUACUAAUUCUAAGGUAAAUUCAACAUUAACAAUUAUAAUUCAACAAAUUAUUCAAUAAUUAUGUCAAUACAACAAUAAAAUAUAUUCAAUAAAUUAAAAAAAUAUUUUAAACUAACAAUUAAAAACAAUGAAAAUAAUUAAACACAAAUCAUGCACUAAUAGAGUAAAAUUACUAAUUAUUACAACAUAUGCAAUUACUAAUUCUAAGGUAAAUUCAACAUUAACAACAAAUAUUCAACAAAUUAACUAAUAACAAUUAUGCCAAAACAACAAUAAAAAAUUUUCAAUAAAUUUUUUUAAAAAAACUAUAGACUUUAGGGAAGAAAUAUGCAUACCUUAAUAAUGUGUUGAAACAAAAAAUUUAUCUACAUUACAAAAAAAUACAACAAAACAAAAAACAUAAAAAGCAUAAAAAUAACUAUAAAUAAAAUAAAAUAAAAUAGAAAAAACACACAUACCUUUUAAUAUGAUGAAGAUUCACAACCAAGCUUGCUAGAGAUUCAACAAAGCUUGAAGAUUUGAGAGGAAAAAAAUCAAAAUUCUAAGAACUUAUAGAAACCUUAGGUCUAUUUUCACGGGCGACAAGCCCACCCAUACUCACUCUGGUCUAUUUUCACAGGCGACCUGCCCACACUCUCACAUUGGUCUAUUUUCACGGGUGACCUGCCCUUUUUAUUGGGUUUACCUAAGAUCCCAUCUUGAGAUCUAACAAGAACAAAAAUCGGUGUGUAGCUCGAUCAACCUGAAAUCCCAUCUAGUAAUUCCCUUUAGCUAGAGCCAAGGUCUGUGCGGUUAGACUGAACUGAGAUCCCUUCGCCGAUCCCCUUCAACCAGAACCAAAAUCCUUUCCAAUUAGGUUAAACUGAGAUCCCUUUGCCGAUCCCCUUUAACCAUAACCAAGGAAUGUGUGGUUAGACUGAACUGAGAUCCCUUCGUCGAUCCAUUUCAACCAGAACCAAAAUCCUUUCCAAUUAGGUUAAACUGAGAUCCCUUUAUCGAAAAUUAACCAACCAAGGAAUAGUUAGACUGAACUGAGAUCCCUUCGUCGAUCCCCUUCAACCAGAACCAAAAUUUUGGUUAAACUGAGAUCCCUUCGUCGAUCCCCUUAACCAUAACCAAGGAAUGUGUAGGGUUGGGCUAGACUGAGAUUCCUUUCGGCAAUCCCCUCUAACCAGAACCAAAAUCCUUUCCAAUUAGGUUAAACUGAGAUCCCUUUGCUGAUCCCCUUUAACCAUAACCAAGGAAUUAUGUAGGGUUGGGCUAGACUGAGAUUCCUUUCGGCAAUCCCCUCUAACCAGAACCAAAAUCCUUUCCAAUUAGGUUAAACUGAGAUCCCUUCGUCGAUCCCCUUUAACCAUAACCAACGAAUGUGUGUAGCUCGGUCAACCUGAAACCCCAUAUAGAGAUUCCCUUUAACCAAAGCUACAUGAGAUCCCAUCUAGCGACCUCAUUCAACUGGAACAAAAGAAUGUGUAAAAAGUGGUCUCAUUAUAAUGGGUGACCUACCCAAGUGGAAAGGAGGAAGAGUGGUCUCAUUCUUAUGGGUGACCUACCCAGGGGGAAAGAAUAUGAAGUGCGGUCUUAUUAUAAUGGGUGACCUACCCAAAAUGGAAAAAAUAUAAAGUGUGGUCUCAUUGUAAUGGGUGACCUACCCAGAUGGAAAGAAUAUGAAAAAGUGCGGUCUCAUUGUCAUGGGUGACCUACCCAGAUGGAAAGAAUGUGAAGUGCGGUCUCAUUGUAAUGGGUGACCUACCCAGAUGGAAAAAAUAUCAUGAAGUGCGGUCUCAUUGUCAUAGGUGACCUACCUAGAUGGGAAAAAUAUGAAAAAUGGUCUUAUUAUGACGGGCGACCUACCUAGAUGGAAAGAAUGUGAUAUGACAAGUGUGAAAAAUAGGACUUACCUGGCGAAGUCUUGAGGGGAUGACAGAAGAUGGGCUGGAAAACUUGGUGCUUCAUGAUAAUCCCCGAUCAUAGGGUUUGAAAACUUGGUGUUUCCUGACUGCAAGAGUUGAAAACUCGAGGCUUCACGAUUGCAAGGUUGAUCUCUUCAUUUCUUUGGGAUUUUCCUAAUGGCAAGGUUCAUCCCAUCAUCCUUUUAUUCCAUGAUCAAAAUCGAUUCUUUAUUAUCAUCACCAUAGUGCUUCUUUCUUUUUUCAACAUCUUGCUGGACCUCAUUAAGGAUUUUCCUGUAACAAUUCAAAAAUAUAUGCAAAUGGUUUUUUUUUUUUUUAAGGUUAGAUGAUAUGCAUGCAUCCUUACCUGAUUUGAAAUAUAGGUCCCCCCCUCUUUGAUGCUCCAUCGUCAUAGGGUGCCCUUGUUUGUAUCCCAAAACUUUCUUUGUUCUUCCGAUACAUUGGCUCAUUCAUGUGCUAGCCAUCCACUCAGCUGUAAAUGCAGUGCCCAUCCCGAGCUGUUUUUGACAAUUACUGCUUGCAUCGUUCAUCAAGCUUGACCCUUCCCCCAAGUGUGGUACUGCUUGAUUCAUCAUGAAGGAUUUUCUCUCCUGGCUUCUUCUAAGAAUUAUCCUCUGAUUGAUUGUGUGCAUCAUGCCAAUACCCAUCAAGAUUGUUAAUCAGUCAUGAACUUGCCUCUAGUUGAAACAAUACUGUUCAAGUACAUGUUAUCAUUAGCCUUCUUGGAACUCAUUCAGUCAUCCAGUCAUGCAUCUCAUAGCUUGCACUACAAAGGCUCAUGGUUGUAUGCUCAGUGUUCUUCUUAAUAGAUUCCCUUCAACUCAGCCUCAUCAAUGAUGCUGCUUUUAUCACUCAUACUCAUGCAGUGAAGCACUCAUCUGGCUUCAAAACAAGUUAUCCCACAGUCAGUCUUCGAGGUGGGUGCCUUUCUGACAUUCAUUCAAUGCAGUUGUGUGAUAACAUCUUCCGAUAAACAUGUUUCAAAGGAUGACAAUAUGACAUUGUCCUUUAAGUGAAGCAUUGUUCCACAGUCAGUCUUGGUGGUAUGCAUCUUUUCUCCAUUCAAUUACAUUCAUCUGUGUAUCUUCAUCGAUCGCUAGCCAUGUUUCAAAAAUGAUGAUAUGAAAGUGUCCUUCAAGUACAUCUUGUUUCUCCAUUGCCGACAGGGUUCACUAAGCAUGGGCCAUUUUGGAAUGACAUUGCCCCCAGUAUGAUCUGAAUGUGCUCGUUCAUUGAUUAUCUGUCUUUGAACAUCAUUGUCUUCAGUUCACUGAUUCAUCAUUUAAUCAUUGCCUCAUAGCUGAUCUGAGCACUGCUUGUUUUUCCUUUUCAAGGUCUACUGUAUUGCCCCCAGCUGCUCAACUUUUCAAGGAGUGUCGAGGACUUCAAUGUCAUUUCUAUCAACGAUUUUGCAUACUCAAUCAAUGUUCUUCUGUGUUUGAUAAUCUUCCUUGUUCUGGAAUCAACUCUCAUAUUUCAAAGAUCAUGUCUAUUCAAAGUCUAGUUUGUUGAAAUGAAAUCAGAGAUGUCCUUUUUGAAAAUCUUUUGAAAAUCAAGCUUUUUGAUCAAAGACCCAACACACGUUAUUCGAAAUACACAGUCCUUUGAUUGUCAUGCAUUUUAAAAACAUAAAUUGACCCAAUGUAGGAUUAAAAAUGGUUUUUUCCAUGGUUCUUUGUAUCAAUUUGAAUCCUUGAUAUUGGGUAUAUCAUUUGAUAGUCUAUGAUGAGGUGACCUUUUCGUGAAUUUCAAAAGCAAGGCACUCAAGUCAACACUUAGGCUUUAUCAAGAAAGGUUGUUUCUCUUCUUAUAACUUGUUUUAUCAGCAUGCAUAAUAACCAAUAGCUUAAUUCAUGAAGUCACGACCCUUAUGGAAAAGCUCUUCAAGUUUUGAGAGCGCCAUUUAUCGGUUCAAAUUGCUUGCUUGAUUAAAAAGGGCUUUUAAAAGCAUGUAAUGCAGGCUAUGGUUCAUGGCUAUGAAAGAAAAGGAAUCUCAAAGGCUCAAAAGGUGUUUGAGGGUUUCAAAGACCUAGGAUCAACAUCAAUUAUUCAUCAACUCUUUUUUAUUGUUGUCUUUAUAGAGGAAACGACAUAUAACCUUGUUAACCUCAAAGAUCAGACUUCACUUAACAUAAGUCAUAAUGCAAAUCCACCUUUCCUUGAUGAAUAACCAACCUUAAUCAUCUGAUAACAUCAGAGGCUUUAUAAUGGACACCAAAAGUCACGUUUAUAACUUAGUCUUUUUUCUGGUAUUGAGUUUUGUUGUGCCUUUCCUUGAUUGAAAUUUCUUUUGCUCUUCAUAGACUUGAUAGGCGUUCUCCUUCCUUUAUCUUUGACUUGUAUUUAAGUGAGGGCAAAUUUCAACUUCCUUUUUUUUCAUUCUCUUUUUUUUCAUAGCCUUCCUCAAAAUUUUCUUAUAUGCCCCCAGUCUAUGUGUUUUCUUUUAUUUCUCUCUCAAUCAUUGGACCUUUGUUCUAAACCUUCCCCUUUAUCCAUUAAUUAUAUCAAUGUCUCCAACAAAUCUCUCAUCUGCCCCCAGUGUGGGGUGUGAUCCUAGUCAUGGUUUUUUUUUAAAGAAAAUACUUUACCAGGCUCAAAAUGGGACUACAAGGGAUAUAAUCUUUAGAAAGUGAAGGGAUAUCAAAGAUGGCCUUUUCUCAUUUCAAGCAAGGUCGGUUAGAACCGAUAAAUUUUGACCCAUCCAGUGUAAUGAUUGGGACUUGUAAGAAUCAUGAUUCACGAGUCCAUAACUACCGAAUCCACUACAUGUCAUUAUGCAUACUGUUAAAACUUAGCUAUAUGAUGUGUGGUUCAGUUUCAGGAGGUAUGAGUUCAAAAUUGUUUAGUCACCUCAUGUCAUUUUCAAGCAUCGAGUCAUUUCUGUAAUCAAAACACUUUUAAUCUUCAGGAUUGAUUAACCUUUAUCGCAUGUUGGAGUUUGAUCAAAAUAUUUUGUCAGAAUAAAAUGCUAAACAUCUGUUGAUUUCAAAACAACAAAGAGACAAAAGCAAGGCAUGUUUCGUUGAAGGAUGAGAUGUGAUCCCAAAACAAAAUGCAGAAUUCCAUAACAAUAUGAUUGAUUGUUCAUCACCAUUCUUGAAUCAGCUUUUCUGGCAAUAUCUGUGUUUUGCCAAGCACUUUCGAUCACAUGUCAUUUUGAAGAUGUUCGGGGGACAAUAUAGCCAAUGACACCCUCCUUCACCGACUCCACUUGUCUCUUGCUCACCAACUUUCGGACUCAAUUCUUGCAAUUCUUGCAAUUGUUCACUUGAAAUGGUUGAGGACCCCACCAUGACAUCAUAUCUCUUGUCUGGAUUAUACCACCUAGAAAACGGUGGUUGCAUGGGAUUUGUCGGAGUCUAGCAAGUCUAGAAUCUGGCAGAUGCUGGCAAAUAAACUCAUAUGACAACUAUUCAAUUGAAAUUCUUGCAACUAUUCCAUUGAAAUGGCCGAGGACCCAACCAUGACAUCACAUCUCUUGUCUUGAUUAUACCACCUAGAAAAUGGUAGUUGCAUGGGAUUUGUCAGAGUCUAGCAAAAGUCUAGAAUCUGGCAGAUUCUGGUAAAUAAACCCACAUAGCAAAGAAUGUCUAUCUUUGGCAAAGACAUUGGAGUAGUCGAUGAUACAACAAGACUUGGUUGGACCAACAUAAUUAAGGUUUUCCAUCGUCAGAUUCUUCUUUUGAUUCAUCUCUCAUCGUUUCUCUAGAAUCCUUGGCAGAACCUUCAAUCUUUCCCAUCUUGAUAGCUUGUUCAAUUUUUGGCAAUCCACACAACUUCAUGUCAAUCUUCCAAUGUUGUUGUUGUUGUUUUAGGAUUGUUGGAAACCCGUCAAUAUCUAGGUAAUCCUGGCAGUGCGCAAAAACAAAAAUGUAUGGAAUCAUAUAUUGUCAAAAUUGGAAGAGAAACUGAUGAAUCCACAACUCCUCUAUUUCCUCUUUGAUUCCUCACUGACGGUGCAACAAACAUCCACUUUUGUGUUUUAAUGCCAAUACUAGUAGGAGAAAAUUGUGGACAAUCUGAAAACCACUGCAUCCCUUCUUGGAUUUCCCAUUUACAGAUCCAUAAAUAGAUUCCUGCCGAGAGAUCUCUGCAACGGUGAAGUUUGAUGUCUGCUCCAUGUUUUUCAAACCAAAUCUGGCUCUUCAACAUGCUACAGUUUCUUCAUGCUGAAACUAAUGAGAGAAAUAUUUGUAGCAUAUGCAAUUAGUAAAUCCUCUCUUGCACUCUCAACUUGCAACAUCAUAAACAGAUUUCUGUAGAGAAAGCUCUGCCACGUUGAAGUUCGACGACUACUCAUAUUUUCAGACCAAGCCUGACUCCUCUGCCUAGUACGAUGUUUUGCUCGUGCCACUGGUGGGAAAAAAGUUUCAAAGCAUAUGAAAUUAAUACAUCCUCUUUUGUAUUUCCCAUUGGCAGAUCCAUAAAUAAAUCUCUACAAAGAGAGCUCUACCACGUAGAAGUUCAGUGUAUGAUCAUGGUUUUCGGACCAACAUCUUGUGCUGCUGACUGAAAUUGAGCUCAUAAUUAGGGUAACUUCAAAGCAGACUAAUGCACCAUGUACAGGAGGCUAGUAGUUGUUUGGUUCCAUUAGAUGAUGUGGAGGCGAUGAACACUUAACAGUGCAACUAGACAAGAACUAGAGUUGUCAUUAGUUGAUGACUGAAGGCAUUGUUGCUGUUGUUCAUGACUGAAAAGGAGAGGCAACUUCAAUUGAACGUGGACAAGCAGUGUUCCCACAGAAGACUGUGUAGACAUUCUCUUUCCAUUUGAUGCUCGACACUUGUUCGAGCAGAUCUGAGUCUAGCUACUUCACCUUUGAUGCUCUCAACCUCAAUCUGAUAAUGAGCCUCUAUCUAACACUUUUCUUCACCUCUAUCAUUUUUCUUCAAUCACGUGCAGCACAGCUUGUGCGGGGGACCUACCUUUCAACCUGGUACAUGCAUGAUAAAUGUAUGAAUAUGUAAUCUAUAUGACAAACUCGCCCUUCGAGGGGUGACAUAUGGUCGCAACUCUUGUAUGAUGAAACAAGAAUCUUGAUUCUUGCACAAACUCUACAAUGAAAAUGUUCUGAGCGACGGUCAUUGUGUCACCCAUAAGUCUGGAGUUCAAGAUGCUUCAAAAAGGGCUUGCUCGGAUGCAAAACAAUGUAUACGGAGCAUACAUCCUAAAGGUAGAUUCUAAUCUUUUUAAGUGAGACAAAAGGUAGGAUAUCAUCUUCUUCAUCGACAUUUGCUUGUCCGCUAGAGCUCAAAACAACGUUCAACUCCUCUACGUCAACAUCAACAAGACUAUCAUCGAAAACACGAAAAUUUGAAUUUUCUUCCAAUUCAAUCGAAGGAGCAACUCGAUAUGGUUCAACCAACUCACUAACUUGAAAGACUUCAUCCCACACACUUGUGUCUUCGUUCUCAUCCUAAACAACCUCGACACGACCCCGUGGUUUUGUUUUUAAAACGAACAACCAAUCAACUCUUGAUCGAUCCUUUCUAAAUGAAGGGGUGUAUGUGUAAUAAACUUGUUGACAUUACUUUGCGAAAACAAAGACAUCGUUUAUGUUGCAGAGUCUAGCUUUUGAGUUGAUUUCGACUAGACCAUGGUGUGUAUCAACUCUGAUUCCUCUGUCCGUCGUGUCAUACCAAUAGCGUUUGAAUAAAAACACUGUAUUCUGCUCGCUAUGAUAUUGUAGUUCGACGACCUCUUCUAAUCUUCCAUAGUAGUCAACUUUUAACUCACUACUUGUGGAUCCUUUAACACAAACACCACAGUUGUAUGUCUUUCUUCAUUGCCCGUAUUCUUCAGUAUGGAAAACAUAUCCAUUGACAAAAUACUUGUUAUAGCACUUAACUUUUCUUUCAGGCCCGAGGCUUAGUGAAGGCAAUGACUUAGACGCACUUCUUCCCAUUUGAUAAACCUUGUAUACAUGUAAUGUACAUCAAUAAACGGUAAAUGAACGAGAAUCUUGUAAUGACAUGCAUACGUACAGUAAUUUUGCAAGUUAGAAUGAGUUUGUGAUAGUGCUUACAUGUGUUCUAAACCAUGUGGCAAAUUGUUCAUCUUGUAAUUGAAAGAUCUGGGAGUCGGUCAGCUGCGAGUUAUUGGAGAGCAAAUAUUGUCGAUGUUGCCUGCAAGUGAUAAUGAGUGUAUGAUUUCACAAUAUAUAAUUAGCAGUAUAUUACUGACAAAGUUUAAAUAGUAUUACACAUAUAUAAACUUACUGAAUAAAUGGUCUUAACUCUUCACAGUUAAAUAGAACAUAGUUGUGUGCUUGUUUGAAUUCUAUUUCCGACAAAUAUCUUCCUCUUGUCGCACGUCAAAAACAAAUCCGUGCGCGGCAUCGACUGGCGAUUAUUCGUUCUGUUUUGCUGAUUUGGUUCUUUAGAGUCGCCACCUAGUAAUUCAUUGAGGGCUACUAGGAAACCUGAUGUACUGGACUUGUCAGAGAUCGCGGGUAAGGGACUGGUUGUGGUUAGGGAAGGUAUUAGCACCCCUAACGCACCCUACCUGAGGUAAGCUGCUUUGUGGACUUGAUGUGUUAAAGAAGUUUUAAAAAUUAUGUUCUUUCAUCGAAUUUUAGAAAAUACAACUUACAUGUAAGUUCAUAAUUCUUUAUCCGUGAUCAAAUCAGAAUAUUAAAUUCUUCUUUAUUCUUGCAAUUUUAUCAUAAUAAAAAAAACAUUCAUAAACAAAAAUACACACCACAUUCACUUUCAAGCUUUGUGGACUUGAUGUGAUAUUAAAAAUAAAAUUUUAGCCCAAUUAUAAGGCUUUGAUAAAUCAGUUAUUACUUUUCCAGACUAUUAUGUAGAUACAUGUUCUACAUUUCCAUGGAAAAUUCAACAUGAUUUUUAUCUGUCCUUUAGAUAUUUGUGCAUAUAAAAUAAAUUCCUUUUUUUUUAUUCAAUAACAUUCAAAAAAAAAAAUACAAGCACACAAACAUUUUUUUUAUUAUUAUUAUCACUUUCUCUGUCUUUUCUUUUCUUUUCUUUUACAUCCUUUUUUUUGUUCUUUUUAUACAUUACCUUACAAAUUAUAAAAACAAAUCAAACUAAAUAAAAAUGACAUUACAUAAUUUACAAUUUACAAAAACAGUCCCUAAACUCAAGAAAUUGCAUUGAAGGACACUGCCGGAACUGCCCUGAACUUGUGGCGGCGCGUCUUCCCACGUGCCACCGUCACUGGCGGCGCGUGAAUCUAGAAACAGCGGGAUCUGGUUCGGCUUCUCUCCUUCUUCCUUUCCUCGCCAGCGGUGAGCAACGCCGUCACCUGUAGAACACAAAAACGCAAGCAACAGUCUGUUUUAGUUAAUUUUUAGAUCUGUUUUCCAUCAUUAUCUGCUUCCCUUUCUUCUUUCUCCGGUCUAUUCUUGGGGAUUCACCAUCUUCUUCUCUGCUCAGGUAGUCGGGCGGCGGCUGGUUGAUGGUGGAUCUAUGGCCGGAUGUGGACGGCGCUGCUGGAGGAAGGCGUUGCUGCCUGAUUGUCGGUUGCGGUUGGUGCUGGACCUGUGGGGGCUGCCGUUGAAGGGGCUGGAAGUCAGAUCGUCUGAGAGAGAGGAGUGGUGGUUGAUUCUCCGUACCUGGCGAGAAGAAAAGGAAGUCUGAUCUGGGAGGAUCGGCCGGGGAAGCGGCUGAAGGAAGAAGAAAAACCGAAUCUAGAGGGGGGGAAACGGCGACCAGUUUUGAAAGGAAGCAGGUUCGGUUUUGGCCAGCGUUAUGAUCACGAUCGGUGAUGGGGUUCGGUGAGGAGGGGAAGAUCGGCUGUGGAGUGUGGUGGUGAGCGGCUGAAAAAAUCAAAGAAAAGGGGGCUCUGGUGAGGCCAAGAAGGAAAAAUUGAUUCGCCGGCUGUAAAAGGGAGAACCGGUUUUGGUUUGGGUGUGUCUGUGUUUGGUGCCAUGUCAUGUGCUCAGUAGUCCUUCGUGACAUGAAUAACCUCUGCAGUCUAGGUGUGAUCGGGAAAUAUCUAAGUUUUUCCCCUGCCAGUUCUGGGUUUGUAACGGGAAUACCCGCAUGUCAUGCACUCGGUCAUCUCAGCAUUUUCAAGGUAGUAUAACAUGUAGAAGUUAGGGCACAUGUCAAUUUUAUGGUAUCCUAAACCAAGGGGUUUCAUCAUGGACUUCGCAACAUAGAAGUUCUCUUUCAGCCUGUUCACUUCAGGUAAAAUGCUUCUUGCCCAAUCAAUAAUUUUUUCAUACCCGGCCUCACUCAGCCCGUGAUCUGACUUGAUGGUGAACACCUGUGCCACGGGCGACAAUUUACUGUGGUUUGUGCAGCCAUCCCAUAAUGGUUCGUCAGAAUCUUUCAACAAAUCAAAAAACCUAGCUGCCUCUGCAUUAGGUUCUUUUUCUACGAUUGGACAUUGAUUGACAUUACCUUGAUUCAUUCUCAUUGCAUCCAUAACCACAUUUCUGUAAGGAUUAGUGUUGUCAUUUCGCUUCAUGCACGUUGCUAGCACUAGAAGUUGACCCAACCACCGUUUCUCUCAUUCUCCUAUUACUAACAAAUACCUCUCCAUGUGCAUACCAACACUGGUAAUCCUCAAACCCUUUGUGUAGAAGAUGCAUCAUUACAACAUCUGGAUGCAGAUACUUUUUAUUUUGACACUUCCUGCAUGGACACCUAAUACCGCCUCCAGUAAAAUUUCUGGGAAUAGAUGUUGCGAAAUUAAUAAAACCCUGAACCCCGUUACAAUAAUCCAUCCUCCGCAAUCCUUGGGUGAAUCUAGAUACAUCCAUGAACGAUCAUCCAUGACUUCUAUCGAACCUCUAUAAAAUUAUGAUGACAUCAUGUAUUAAUUAACUAAGUUAGGUAAAUAAACUUGCAAAAAUAUUACUUUACCUCGAGAUUAUCCAACAAACCAAUCACAACUUCUCAUAAAUAUUAAAUAUUCAUUAUCAUUUAUCAACGUCCAUACAAAUUAAUAUAUAUAAAUUAACAGAAAUUACCACUCUGCAAUACCAUCGAUAAAACUUAAAAAGGACCCAUUAAGCAAGCUAUUAAUUAUUUCAAAACAGAACAUGUAAUUCGGUAAUUCCACAAAGUUUUAACAAUUUACAAACAAAUACAAUCUUACAAAAUCUAAAACAAACCAUAACAGGUAUAAAAUUAUACAUUCAUAUACUACAAGUUUGUUUGAGAAAUAACAAUAAAACAUGUACAUCUACUAACAAAAAUACAUAUACUAAAAAACAAUAAAAUUGACAUUUAAAUGUUAAAAUUUAAAUAGAUAGAAUUACUUACAAAAAUUGAUAAAAUCCGUCGGUAAAUCAGAACACGGAUGUUGUGACCACAAAAUUUCAAGAAAUACAACUUGUUGUGUUGAGAUGAGCAAGAUUUUUAUUUGGGGGCAAGGGGGGGCUGAUUAUUUGCAGAUGGGGAGAGUUAGGAUUAGGAAGAAAAAGGAGAUAUGGGGAAGGAGAGUGUCGACAGAGUGGCCAUAUAUUUACUUUUUCCGACGGCCUCAUCGACGGAAUAACACCGUCGGUGACUCCGUAGGUCAUUCCGACGGGAAAUCGACACGUCACCGCACGAACCUGCUUUUCAAAUCCCUCGGUGAUUCCGUCGGUAUUUUUUAUGGUGCAACGGUCGCGUCACCCAUACGGAUCUGCCGUUUCAAUUCUGUCGGUGAUUCCGUUGGUAUUUUGAAGUCCCAUGACACGUACUUGUCAACCAUUUUGAAUCCGUCGGUGAUUCUGUCGGAAAAAUCACCCGCCAAACCUCCACGUCAGCUACCCGCCCUUUUUUCAUUAAUUUUGAUUAUUCUGUCCGUAAUUCGGUCGGUAAUUACCAACCAAAUGACGGACAGAAUAAUUCCAUCGGUAAUUUCGACCGAAAAAUACCGACAAAAAUAUUCCUCGGGGAUUCCGUUGAUAUUAAGCGAAUUUCUGGUAGUGAUUUGAGCAACUCUGAAACAUGAAGCUAGUCAAUAGGCGUCUAUAAGUUGUACAGAGAUUUUACAAUAGAAACUAUUCAAGUAAGAUUUUGGUGCAAUCAGUAUUCUAUAUGCACGAACAAAUUUGGGGCUUCACUGUACUACCUCAGAUACUCUCAAAAAAUGCUUCUUGGAAUUCGGAAGUUUAGACGAUCAUCGGUUAACAUGUCUGGUGUUGGUGCUUCAUGAAAUGAUGUUACCGUUUCUCUUUCUGAACGUUAUUCCAGGUUGGAAAUUCAAGUAAUUAGUUCAAAUCCUAGAAGAUGAGUGGUGGCUUAGAAUGCUGUGAAAAAAUCGUUCCCCUGUUCAUUUUUCAAAUUAGAAAAGACAUAACUUUUUGCUUGAACUUCUAGAAUAUAAAAAAAUCUUACUUUUAUAUCUAGACACUUUCCAUCUAUGAUCUUUAAAUCUGAAGACAUAUCAUCUGGUUUUAAGAAAGUGCUAUUAACAUACCAAACUUUAUUAGAUUGUUGUUGUGCACUUAGGAAGAAAUAAAAUACUUGUCCUCUAUUGUUUUCAAUAGCAUGAUCAGCUUCAUAGUUUUCUACGUUGUCUUUUUACUAGAAGUACCUUCGUGAAUGUUGGGAAUUUCUGUCUUUUGCAUCUAUACCAGCACUCUUUUACUUAGUGUCCACCUCAUUUUCAAGUUCAUGUCGCUGGAUCCAGCGGUCAAGAGAAAAUCAUGUCAUUGACACUAAUUUAGACCAUCAAAAUGAUUGAUAUUUGUGUUAAAUGGUUCCUUUUAACUGAGAGAAUUCAUAUUAGGUGUUUUUCUUACCUUUAAAGUUUGUGAAAAAACAAAUAUUAUCUCAAGCUGAUUUUUGGUUUCAUGUUCAUUUCUAUUUUUUAGAGGGUUUGUUGGUUUUUUAGGCUAAAAAUAUGUUUAUCAUGGUUCUUAAGGUUUUUUAUAGGUGUUUUGGGUCAAAAUGAGUUUUGAGUAAAAAAACUUAAGCCUUGAUUUUUCAACCACUACAGUGGUUGGAAUCCGGAUAAGAUCAGACGACGCGUUGUCUGUCUCAAUAGGCAACGCAUCAUCUGAUUGUUUUAAAAAAAUAGAGGUGGACGACAUGUCAUCUGCUCUAAGUGCAGCGAAAAAAAUGGGUCCAGUUAGGUGAGCCCUAAUGAAAUGGGCCAGGCCAGGCAACACUUGACCGUUUUUUCCCUUAUUUUUUUCAAUUCAUCCUUAUUUUUAUAUGUUUUUUUGUAAAAUAAAAAAAUAUUUAUAUUUAGAUUAAUACCUCUUUUCUUUUUGUAUUUUGUUCAGAAAGUCUUUUAAAUGAUGAUUAUUUUUUUGUUAUGUUUUUAAUUUUUGAAGAGGUCUUUCUGAUUCAUUUAUAUUUUUUUUAUCGUUUAUGUAGAAGAAUUAUAUUUUUGAAAAUAAAAAAUAUUUAUUUUCAAAUAAUAUUUCUACAGAGAGGUCGCUGGAUCCAGCGAUAAAAAAGAAAAUCAUGUCGUUGACACUAAUUUAGGCCACCAAAAUGAUUGAUAUUUGUGUUAAAUGGUUCCUUUUAACUGAGAGAGUUCAUAUUAGGUGUUUUUCUUACCUUUAAAGUUUGUGAAAAAACAAAUAUUAUCUCAAGCUGAUUUUUGGUUUCAUGUUCAUUUCUAUUUUUUAGAGGGUUUGUUGGUUUUUUAGGCUAUAAAUAAGUUUAUCAUGGUUCUUAAGGUUUUUUAUAGGUGUUUUGGGUCAAAAUGAGUUUUGAGUAAAAAAACUUAAGCCUUGAUUUUUCGACCACUACAGUGGUUGGAAUCCGGAUAAGAUCAGACGACGUGUUGUCUGUCUCAAUAGGCGACGCAUCAUCUGAUUUUUUUUUUAAAAUAGGGGUGGAUGACAUGUCAUCCGCUCUAAGUGCAGCGAAAAAAAUGGGUCUAGUUAGGCGAGCCCUAAUGAAAUGGGCCAGGCCAAGCAACACUUGACCGUUUUUUUCCUUAUUUUUUUCAAUUGAUCCUUAUUUUUAUAUGUUUUUGGUAAAAUAAAAAAAUAUUUAUAUUUAGAUUAAUACCUCUAUUCUUUUUUAUUUUGUUCAGAAAGUCUUUUAAAUGAUGAUUAUUUUUUUGUUAUGUUUUUAAUUUUUGAAAAGGUCUUUCUGAUUCAUUUAUAUUUUUUUUAUCGUUUAUGUAGAAGAAUUAUAUUUUUGAAAAUAAAAAAUAUUUAUUUUCAAAUAAUAUUUCUAAUACGUGUAGCCUUGCAUAAUGUUUUUUUUUUCUUUUUAUUUUAUUCAAUCAAUCUAAUGUGUUUGUCCAUUUCUUUUAUCAAUUGAUUGAAUAAAAAUACAUUAUAAUAAUCGUGUAAAUAUCCAGUCUUGCGAUAUUAAAUAUCUUGAUCCACACAUGUAUCUUGAUUUUUCAAGUUUUAUUUUUAAGUAUUGUUAAUGACUUAUUAUUAAUUUAUUAGCACACAUAGUUCUCGGUUUACUUGAUUACAUGUAUUUUUGAUCUACACUUCAAUUUUUUGAAUUAUAGAAAUGCAUUGAAAAAACUUAUUUAUAUAAUGUUUUUAUAGAAAAUAAAAAUAUCUGAUCCGUAACGGAGCGCGGUUCAUAUAACUAGUAAAUACUAAAUUGAAGUGAUAAAAAAUAACAUAAAGCACAAGUAAAUUACAUAUACAAGUGAUCAAUGAUAGAGGCUCCUCUAUGUAUAGAUAAUGGAGCAUUGAUUCUUAAGUUUAGGGAGACACAUGGUGCCCGUGUCAGUUUAUAUUGGAUCCUGUGCUUGUAAGUAAUGAUGGAUUCUCAUGAGUCCUACUAUUUAACAUGCUUAAGAAUAAAGUUGACAUGUUGGAUAAUUGAUUGAUCUCUUAGUUCAAGUAAUCUGAUUCAUUCUUCAUAGUUAAUGUAUCUAGUGACUUGAUAUAAAAAGCCUAGUGGGUUGGUAACUGGUAGCAUGUGAUGUCUAGUAAGCUAGGUGACAGGUAACUAGUACCUAUAAAAAGUCCCAUUUGAUGGACGUGGGGAUUCUCAGAUGGUAAAGUCGAUAACUUUAUGGAAAGAGAAAGUGCAAUAAUAUUUUAAAGAGAUAUACUCUGAAAAUAUAUACAGUUAUACACAAUAGAAAAUGAAGAGAUUGUGAACCUUUAACUUGAUGGAUUCAUGGUGUAUUUAUAGCUUAUAAAUUUUAUCCUUUUAUGGAGAGGAGGGGCUGAAGUGUAAUUUCAAUAUUGUGAUAUUUUGAGUUGUAUUCCACUCAAAAUAAUAUGUAUUUGAUCAAUAUAAAAUAUCAAAAGAUGUAAGUUGGAUUUUGAAAAAUUCUCUAGUGAGUAUUGGGCUCGGAUAAGGUGCCCGAGCCCAUUGGAGGUGAAAGCAGGUUCGGGAGUACUACCUGGACUCAAACACACUAAGCUCAGGCGUGAAAACCUGUUCCCAUGAUGGCUAUAGGGUGCAUGCCCAACACCAUUUGGGCGUACACCCUACAUAGGUACACAUACAUUGGGGUGUAUUGAGCGUACAUACACUGGGCAAAUGCCCAAUGCACUGCAUAAUGCCCAUGCAUUAGACGUUCAUACGCCCAUUAAGGAGCAUGGGCUUGGGCUCCUUGCCCGAGCCCAUGUUCUUGGUGCGUGGAUAGCCCGAGCUCAUGUUCCUUGGGUGGUUUUUGAGUUUUUUUUUUCUCUUUUAGAGGAUUUCUUUGGGUCUAUUUUGAGGGAUUUUUUUGGUCAAUUUUAUUUGUAUCCAUCAGAUUCUAUUAUCAAUUUAAAAAGUCUGAAGUGAUAGAUUAAAAAUAUAUUUUGUAUAUAAGUUCCUCAUUUUCCAUUCGUAACCCAACAACACAUCUUGAAACAUUAAACUGACUUAAACCUUCAAAUAGAGAAUUGAAUUUUAAUGAAAUUUAACCUUUUUUUACAAUAUCUGACACUAAGCAACGAAUAGCUUCUAUAAAGAGGAUUUUUUAGGGAUUUUUUUUUAAUUCUUUUCUAUUUAGUGUAAGAAGUUAAAUUUUAUGUUUAAUAUUUUUAUUUUUCAUAGUUUAUUUAGAAUUUUUAUUAAUUUUUUUAUUUUUAGGUUUCUAGUUUGUUUAGGUUAGUUUUUUAAGUUUAUUUAAGGAGUUGUAAACCUCUUAGUAAGGAAAACUACAUGAACAUAAAAUAUUCAGUAAUAAAAUUAUAAUUUAGGGUUUUGUGUGACAAUUUUAUUUAACUUCAAUGAUACUAGUGGUUAUGUCUUUAUAGCUUAUUGUUUUUAUGUUUGUGUUUCCGUUUAUGUUAGUUGGUAUUAAAGUUCAAUGAUACUAGUGGUUAUUCGCUUGCUAUGUGCUAGAAUAACAAUGAUUAGAAAAUGCUAUGUGCUAAAAUAACAACUCUAAAAUAAAGAAAAUGUAAUAAAAUUUCUAAAAAAACUAAGAGAAAUAAAAUUACUUCUUUCAUGAAUUCAAUCUUGAUUUAUAAUAGAACUCAUGUUUGGAGGCACUUAGGCCUUUUCAACACAGUUAUUUUAUAAUUAUCUAUUUAGAUGGAAGGCAAUUAAGUCUUUCACCAUAUAUAAAAUUAAUUUUAAAAAAAGAUGGUUGGUAAAUGCCACUCACAUGCCAGUAAGUAGGAGGUAUUCAUGUUUUUUAGGCGAUACAUAUGGCACCUUACAAUGGUCAAAUGUCGUUGUUCGCUACAGUGUGUAAAGUAGAGCAUCAUCAUUUUCAAAGUGAUAGGGCACAUAUUCACAAUGGAGGUGAGGUUAAGCUCUGAUGAAUCUUUUUUUUCUUCUUUUUCUUUUCUCUCUCCUAGCCUCAAAAUUUUCACUAGCCCUUUAAAAAAUUAAUUGUGUCAUCCAGUUUGGUCUUUAUUCUUUUGAUUGCUAUUUGUUUUUUCAAUUUUAUUCCUCAUCAUUUUAUCUUGUUUAAUUUUUGUGUCCAAUUUUGGUCCUCAUGCUUUGAUUGCUAUUUUUUUAAUCAUUUUCUUAAUUUAUUUUAAAUUUUAAUUUAGUCCCUCAUUGUUUUAUUUCAUUUAAUUUUUAUGCCAAAUUUAAUCUUUAUGUUUUUUAUUGCUAUUUGUUUUGUUUAUCUAAUUUUGGAUGAUUAGGGAUUUUUCUUGGUAUUUUUUAGAGUUUGCCUUAAAUGGUUUAAUCUUGAUCUCAUAACUCAAGUCACUAGUUUUGAGAAUUAGCCCGAUUUAACUUCAAUAUUUUUUAUGCCGUUUUCUUAAAAUUGAUUAUUUUUUAAUUUUAUCAUUUCAUUUUAGGUUAUUGGAUCUUGAGUUUCAUGGUUUUUUCCACUUUUCUUUUUCUAUUUUAUCCUAGGUCAUGGGUUUGUUGGGUGAACCCAGAUUCAUUCAAGUUUUAAUUUUUAUUCAGUCUUGAGUUUCAUGGUUUUUAUUUAAUUUUUUUAUUUCAUCAUUCGACAUUGAGUUAUUGGGUCAUUUGAAAUUCAUUAUUAUGCCUUAAGCUUUGUGAUUUUAUUUUUUUUUCAUUUUUCUUUUUGUGGGGUUAACCUAGGUUGACUUCGGAUUUUUUUGGUAUUUCUUUUAUUUUUCUUUGAUCUUUUUUUCUAGGUCAUUUUUAUUUUGAAUAAUUUUUUAUCCCGAUCACAUUAUGUGGAUUGCGAGUUAGUUGAGUGAAUCUUAGCUAUCUCAAUUUGUUUUACGUUGCUUUUUUUUAAUGAUUUUUUUAUUUCAAUUUAAUUCUUUGACAUUAGAUUGUUGGGUCAUGAUCUUAGUGAUUUUUUCCACUUUCCUUUAUAUGAAGUUGGCCCAAGUUACAAGUUAAUCAAAUUAACCCGGUUUAUAUGAGUGGGGCACAAGUUACAAGUUAAUCAAAUUAACUCGGGUGGACUCAAUUGUUUUCUUGACAUUGACUUCGAUCUUUUUAUUUAAGUUUAUUUUUUAAUUUAUUUUUUUUAUUUUGAUCUCAUAUUGAGGGUAGUGGGUAGUUAGGUGAGCCCAGGUUGACUCGUGUUGAUGUGAAUCUCGUGAUCACGUAGUCACGCAACCCACAAUCAAAAUUAAGAUCUAAUCCCGGAAAGCCGAAAUAGAUCUGAUAGGAGUCUGACACAAUGGAAACUUGCCCCAAGGCACCAACACUAUUGGAAUGAGUAGAAUGACGCCACGAAGCCAAUUAAUCUUCGAUAAAUCAGAUUCAAUUCGUUCAAGAACUAAAGAAUGCAAGAAUCACUCUCACACAUUAAAACUGAAAAAUUCAGAAGUAAUAAUCAUCAAAGCUCCCAAAAUUUUGGCUUGCAUGAGUUUAAAUAGUUCUUGAAAAAUUAACCCUAAUGGACCCCUUAUAUGGACUUAUAUGAGGUCCACUCAAAACUGAUGCAAAAUCCUAAACUGAAAAGCCCAUAACUUAAUCCAAACAAGCCUUGGAUCCUAGCUGAAAACAAAGUAUUAAUUAAGCUCAAACAUAAAAGAAAAUAAUAAAAAUAACUAACUUGUCAUUAAAUACCACCAGCCCUUCUUUCUUUGUGUAGUUAGGAUGAAUAAGGGAAUCCUUAUAAGAAAAUUAUUCUAAAACAUUAAUGAAUCAUUGCCACACUUGGAGAAUAUUAUAUUGCAGCUCAUUAAAGAUCCUUAAGGAACUAGGAAAUUCCCAAAACAAGCUCCCACAUCCUUGUAGGAAAAUGAUCCUUGCUGAACAGGAAGUCCACAAGUUAAAAGGAAGUAAAUAAUAGAAUUCGCAUAACCUGUUCGGACCUAUAUUGCAAGUCUUUUCCGAACAUGGAUUCUUCUAAAAAUGUACCCCAACAUAGAAAAACAUUUUUGAAAUCUUCUAGUAAAGUUUCAGCUCGAUCCAACGGUUGGAUUUGAAGUUAUGCUCAAUAAUGUAAAACUGAACGGUAGAAACUUUUACGCCAAAAUCCAAAUCUGACAUUGCUUGGUUCGUAUCACAAGGCUGAACUGUAUCACGUGUUUUUUCUUCGAUGUUUUUAUUUUUAAAUUUUAUUUUUCAAGUUUUAUCUUUUGAUAUUAGGUUAUUGGGUUUUACUUAAAGGAUAAAGGGGGGGUUCAUUGGAAUCUAAAAGUAAGUUUGACAUAUUCAUGAUGAAUAAAAGUACAAAAGUAGAUUAAUUGAAAUAUUAUUAGUUUAAUUAUAUAAAUAUUAUGUAAAGUUCGAUGUCAUUUAUCCACACACAAAAACAAAUUGCAAUAUUAACCCGGAGGUAAGAAGUCUAGGGUAUCUUGAGAAGAGUGAUCAUGGAUCCAAGGUUAAUUUUGAGAAUUUGUUUCAAAGAUGUAAGUAGAGAAAAUAACUUUUUGAUUGGGAUAAAUAUAAUAUUGAAAUUAAAAUUUUGAUAAUUCUAGUUUUUUUGUGAAUCGGAAUCAAAUACCAAAAUUUGAUAAGGAUGAUGAAAAUGAUGGUAAAGAAAAAGAUUUAAAUGCAAAAUUUUUAAUUAGUGAUAUCCACGAGAAGAUAACAAAAAUAGAUGUGGUUACGAUGCAUAGCGUGAAGGAUGUGUGUUUGAGAAAAAAAAUUAGAAUUAAUGAGGUGAAAGCUGAUGCUAUUGCAAUCCAGCUCAUGCAAGACUUCCAAGUCGUUGGCAGUAUCCAAUUCGAAUAUUAUAGACUUCGUCUAAGGUAGUUUACGAAGAAAGUACCCGUAAGACAUGGUUAUAAUAAAAAGUCGUUGGCAGUAUCCAAUCGAAUAUUAUAGACUUCGUCUACGGUAGUUUACAAAGAAAGUACCCAUAAGCAUGAUUACAAUAAAAAGUAUACAUUUCCUGAAAAAAAGAAAUGAAAAACACUACAAAGCUGAGAAAGGCAGACAAUAUCAAUUGUCAAAAUCUAAGGAUACUCAAAUGAGUUUCGGAAGGAAAACCUGAAAAUGUACGAGAGAACACAACCCCAUCAUUGAAGCUGCUAUUUAUAUAUAUAUAUAUAGACAUGAUCUAAUGCUAGCAAGCUGCGAAUCAUAUAUUUUAAGCAGCACACAUUGAGAAAUGAUUUCAGUCUCAUCUUGCCUUUGGGUCAAUUAUUUUAGAAAACACACCCCUUGCUCUUUGAUCUGGAUCACUUUGGGUGACACUUUCACGAGUGCUGAUAAGCCACGAUCUGAAGAAUCUCAAAGUCCACGUCAUUCUAAGAGGAUCCAUAAACCAAAUCCCAAAUAUCUGGGAUGAGCUGAUCGUGAGUUAAUGCAUGCAUAACGGAAGAAGCCAUUAAACAGGGGUCGUGGCUAUCAAGGAGUAAUGGAAGGAGGGGUUACACCCGUUAUAUCACCAUUUAUGGUCAUCAGUUAUAUCUUAAUUAAUUCCAAGUUAUUAGUAGCUUUAUUGUUCCCUUUGUAUUUCAGUUUUAUUUGUAAUUCACUUUGGCUAUUUAAGCAGCUAAAGUUUUAAUAAGAAGAUAUAAUUUCAGUAAAAAAGUGUGGUUUAGUUCUCACCCGAAGAGAACCUUUAUAAUUUGUGCUGGGACCUAACAUUGGUAUCAGAGCACGUUAUGGGAACCAACAAGGAGCGUAUUGAGCACCUGGAAUCUGGACUUGGGAUAGUUCAAGAUGGUCUUCAGAGAAUGGAGUUGGGAGUGAAUGAUAAACUCCAACAUUUGGAAGACACUCUUACUCGACUUGCCAAUAUGUUGAGGCAAAUCAAGAGAAUCCUAACCGCGACAAUUAUCAUAGAGAAGGCAACAAUGGGGGUCGGCAGAUUAUCUCCUCCAAAACAGCAAAACUGGACUUCCACGAUUUUCAGGGGAUGACCCAACCGAAUGGUUCAACCGUGUGGAACAAUUCUUUGAAUACUUGGGCACAGUUGAAAACCAAAAGGUAGCCAUGGCUGCUUACCAUCUUGAAGGGGAGGCCAACCAGUGGUGGCAAUGGCUUCAAAGGACGUUGCAGGGAGAAGGGCAAGUGAUUUCAUGGGCAAAUUUCAAGAAGAGUUAUGGGCUCGUUUCGGACCAUCAGGCUGUGAAGAUUUUGAUGAAGCUCUCUCAAAAAUCAAACAGGAGGGACAUUGAGGGAUUACCAACGGGAGUUCGAGAAGCUUGGAAAUAAGGUACAAGGUUGGACACAGAAAGCAUUAGUGGGAACAUUCAUGGGGGUCUGAAGACAGAAAUUUCUGAAGGGAUUCGGAUGUUUAACCACAAUCCCUCAAGGAGGUCAUUAAUCUAGCAAGAAUGAGAGAUGAGCAACUUACAAGACAGAGGCGGUUCUACGACCAGCACCUCCAAAAAUUCCUCUAGCUCUUCCACCACCCAAUCGGGUAACUCCUGCUAGUCGGUCUACUCCGCUUAGGCGUUUGUCAUGGGAGGAGAUGCAAAGAAGAAGAGUGCAAGGCCUUUGUUUCAAUUGUAAUGAAAGGUUUACAGCCGGGCACAAAUGUCAACAACCUCAGCUACUACUCUUGGAAGGUUACAUAGAUGCUGGUAAUAUGUCCUAUGAAGAUAUUACUUAUCCACAAACCAGGGGGUUUGUACAAGGAGAAGAUACAGUAGAGGCAUGCGAACCAGAAUUGGAACCUGAAAUCACUCUGCAUGCAUUAACAGGGUGGACAGCCCCAAGAACAAUGCGAGUGACAGCGAAGGUGGGCUCUCAUACGGUGAUGGUGUUGAUAGACAGUGGAUCCACACACAACUUCAUCAGUGAUCGCUUAGCAAACACACUACAUCUACCAGUGAAACCAACCAAGUCGUUCACUGUUCGGGUUGCUAAUGGCCAGCGUCUACAUUGCCAAGGACAAUUUGAUAAGGUACCCGUGAAUUUACAAGGCACUGAAUUUUAUCUCACACUCUUCUCUCUGCCAUUAUCAGGGCUUGAUCUAGUGUUGGGCAUCCAAUGGUUAGAAUUGUUGGGAUCAGUGGUUUGUAACUGGAAAGACUUAACUAUGGACUUCAUUUGGAAUAAUCAAGCUCGAAGGUUGCAAGGAGUGGGGAGCAAUCUAUUCAAGAGGCUACUUUAAAACAAGUCUCAAAAGAUUGUCGACAGCAACAGAUGUUAUUUGCAGUAUGUUUCCUUUCAACCACGAGGACAAAAUUCUGAAGGCAGACUAUGGCAAUCAAGACAUACAGCAGUGAUAAAGGAGUAUCAGGAUGUAUUCCAAGAACCCUCAUGCUUACCACCUGUGCGGAGGUGACCAUUGCAUUGCACUUAAGGAGGGCACUGAGCCGGUUAAUGUACGACCCUACGAUAUGCUCACUUUCAGAAAGAAGAAAUUGAAAAGCAAGUGCAGGAGAUGCUGAAAUCAGGACAUAUACGUACUAGCACCAGUCCUUUUUCUUCACCAGUGUACUCGUACGAAAAAAAUGGUAGUUGGAGAUUUUGCACGGAUUAUCGCGCACUAAAUAAUGCAACUAUCAAGGAUCGGUUCCCCAUUCCAACCGUGGAGGAUAUGCUUGACGAAUUAUAUGGAGCGGCAUAUUUUACGAAACUGGAUUUACGAGCUGGAUAUCACCAAGUAAGGGUCAAUCCUUCUGAUAUUUCUAAGACUGCUUUUCGUACUCAUAAUGGCCAUUAUGAAUACCUCGUUAUGCCUUUUGGCCUAUGUAAUGCACCUUCCACAUUUCAGGCCAUCAUGAACACUAUUUUUCGACCUCACCUUCGAAAAUUCAUUCUAGUUUUCUUCGAUGAUAUCCUUAUCUAUAGUACUACAUGGGACAAACAUGUGGAACACAUUGCACAAACUCUGCAGAUUUUAAGACAACAUCAGUUUUUUGCUAAAGCUAGCAAAUGUGUUAUCGGCCAACAAGAAUUGGAGUAUCUGGGGCAUAUCAUUACACCGCAAGGAGUGAAAGUUGAUGACCAAAAGAUUACAGCCAUGCUUGCAUGGCCUCGACCUACUAAUAUUUCUGAAUUGCGUGGUUUUUUAGGAUUAACAGGUUAUUACAGGAAGUUCGUCCAAAAUUACGGCAUCAUUGCUCGACCCCUUACCAAUCUAUUAAAGAAGGGGAAAUUUGGAUGGCAUGAUGAGGCAGAGGCAGCCUUCUCAGCUCUCAAGCAAGCCAUGACAACCACUCCCACUUUAGCCAUGCCUAAUUUCAAUGAUUCAUUCACAAUUGAAACAGAUGCUUCAGGAGAUGGUAUUGGUGCGGUUCUAACACAGCAAGGCAAACCCAUCGCCUACAUGAGUCGGGCACUGGGAGUCACAAAAAAAUCCUGGUCCACCUACGCCAGAGAAAUGCUUGCAAUUGUAGAAGCCAUCCGUUUAUGGCGUCCUUAUAUACUGGGAAGAAAAUUCUUCAUUGAAACCGACCAGCGUAGCUUGAAGUAUCUACUGGAUCAACGAAUAGCAACACCAGAACAGCAAAAGUGGGUAGCCAAACUACUGGGUUAUGACUAUGAAAUUCGUUAUCGUCCAGGCCGCGAAAACUCAGCUGCAGAUGCACUCUCCCGCAGGCCAAACAGCCCCACACUUCAUCAUUUGCACGUGGCCACCGUAACCUUGUGGGAUGAAAUCAAAGAAGCAUACAUUGGGAAUAAAUACAUUCAGUCAGUAGAGCGGGUAGCCAAGGCUCAACCCAAUGGACCAUAUUCACAACGCCAAGGAUUGUGGCUAUUCAAGCACAGAGUGAUAAUUCCUACAUGUGAACUGCUACGCACCAAGUUAUUGUAUGAAGCACACAAUACCAAGAUUGGCGGACACUCUGGAGUCUUACGAACAGUCAAACGACUAGCUCAUCAAUUUUACUGGCCUAAGAUGCAACAAGAUGUCCAAGAAUAUGUCCGACGCUGUGAAGUAUGCCAAAGAAUGAAAUCAGACACUCUUUCCCCUGCUGGACUCCUACAGCCUUUACCCGUUCCGUGUCAAGUUUGGGAUGAUAUUACUCUUGAUUUCGUUGAAGGAUUGCCAACCUCCCAUGGAAAAGAUACAAUCUUAGUAGUGGUUGACAGGUUAAGCAAAUUUGCCCAUUUCUUGCCCUUAUCCCAUCCAUUUACUACAAAAGGAGUAGCUGAAAGAUUUGUGGAAGGAAUUAUUAAGCUACAUGGCAUUCCUAAAUCAAUCAUUAGCGAUCGAGAUCCCAUCUUUAUCAGCCAAUUUUGGCAACAGUUAUUUCGCUUGUCAGGGACACAACUAAAACUCAGCUCUGCCUAUCAUCCACAAACAGACGGCCAAACCGAGGUGGUAAAUCGAUGUGUUGAACAAUAUCUUCGCUGCUUUGUUCAUCAAUGGCCGCGCAAGUGGAGCACCUAUAUUCCUUGGGCUGAGCUCUGGUAUAACACCACAUUCCAUGCCUCUACUAAAAUGACUCCAUUUCAGGCAUUGUAUGGUCGACUGCCUCCUCUCCUUCCCAAUUACCAGGGUGGUGAUGCGUCGGUGCAUGAGGUGGACAAGAAUCUCAUGUCUAGAGAUGAGUUACUAAGUCACCUAAAGACAAAUUUGGAGAAAUCCAGCAAUCGUAUGAAGCAGACAGCAGACAAAAAAAGAAGGGAGGUGACUUUUGCAGUAGGUGAUAUGGUGUUUCUCAAGUUACACCCCUAUCGACAACAAUCGGUUUUUAAACGUGUGCACCAAAAGCUUGCAAGUCGAUUUUACGGCCCUUAUCCAGUAGUUCAAAAAAUCGGCGCAGUUGCUUACAAACUUCAACUACCAGAGGGCAGUCGUAUUCACCCGGUCUUCCACGUCUCUCUACUCAAGAAAUAUGUGGGCGACCUAGUGGUGUCAUCUACAGAAUUACCACCAGUGAAUGAUGAAGGCCUAAUUAUACUGGAACCACAACAGAUUUUGGACACUCGCUGGGUCAAACAGGGAAACAAAUUUGAAGAGGAGAGCUUGAUUCAGUGGCAACGACUACCAGCAGAGGAGGCCACAUGGGAACUAACUAAGUCGUUGCUUGAGCAAUUUCCACACAUCAACCUUGAGGACAAGGUUUUGCUUGGUGGGGGAGGUAUUGAUAAGCCACGAUCUGAAGAAUCUCAAAGUCCACGUCAUUCUAAGAGGAUCCAUAAACCAAAUCCCAAAUAUCUGGGAUGAGCUGAUCGUGAGUUAAUGCAUGCAUAACGGAAGAAGCCAUUAAACAGGGGUCGUGGCUAUCAAGGAGUAAUGGAAGGAGGGGUUACACCCGUUAUAUCACCAUUUAUGGUCAUCAGUUAUAUCUUAAUUAAUUCCAAGUUAUUAGUAGCUUUAUUGUUCCCUUUGUAUUUCAGUUUUAUUUGUAAUUCACUUUGGCUAUUUAAGCAGCUAAAGUUUUAAUAAGAAAAGAUAUAUAAUUUCAGUAAAAAAGUGUGGUUUAGUUCUCACCCGAAGAGAACCUUUAUAAUAUUGUGAUGGGACCUAACAUUGGUAUCAGAGCACGUUAUGGGAACCAACAAGGAGCGUAUUGAGCACCUGGAAUCUGGACUUGGGAUAGUUCAAGAUGGUCUUCAGAGAAUGGAGUUGGGAGUGAAUGAUAAACUCCAACAUUUGGAAGACACUCUUACUCGACUUGCCAAUAUGUUGAGGGCAAAUCUACGAGAGAAACAAAAUGUACGAGAGAACACAACCCCAUCAUUGAAGCUGCUAUUUAUAUAUAUAUAUAUAGACAUGAUCUAAUGCUAGCAAGCUGCGAAUCAUAUAUUUUAAGCAGCACACAUUGAGAAAUGAUUUCAGUCUCAUCUUGCCUUUGGGUCAAUUAUUUCAGAAAACACACCCCUUGCUCUUUGAUCUGGAUCACUUUGGGUGACACUUUCACGAGUGCUAACAGUGCUCCUUGAAUGUGACUCCGCUCCACUAAACAUGUCAUCGUCAUCAGUGGUCAUGGCAUCUCGAUGUGGUGAAAAUGAGCUUUUAUUUUCCAUAUUGAUCCCUUCUACACUGUUGGCAUUUUUCUCAGCAGAUUGUUGAAGCUGCAAUGCAAAUUCAAGGCCCCAAACGACAUCACCCAUUUUAGGGCGUUCAAUUCCUUGACCAUGUAAGCAACUGUUAGCAAUCUCUGCGAACUUAUUUAAAGAGACGGGGGCAACCUCGCCCUUUAAAUGUGGAUCCACGAUCUGAUCAAGGGUUCCUCUUUGGUAACAUUUUCGUGCCCAGUCAGCUAAGCUUGCUUGAUCUUUCGGUGAACUUGGAAUCACUGGUGGCCUUGCACAUAGCACCUCAAACAAAACCACACCGAAUGAAUAAACAUCAGAUUUUCUGUCAGGUGUUGCCUACGGUAGUACUCUGGAUCCACAUAUCCAAUGCUACCUCUAACUACAGUGCUAACAUGGGUUUGGGAUGUACUAGUGGGACCCAAUCUGGACAGCCCAAAAUCUGAAACCUUAGCCACCCAAUUCUCAUCUAACAAUAUGUUUGUUGACUUCACAUCACGGUGAAUGAUUGUGUGCUUUGCUCCUGAAUGAAGAUAAUGCAACCCUUUUGCAGCACCGAUGCAUAUUUCUAGCCUUUGCUUCCAUGGAAGAGGAGAGUUCUUUGUUUUGUAUAGAUGUUCUCUAAGAGUGCCUCUUGACAUGUAAUCGUAUACAAGGAUCAUCUCGCCAUGAUCAUCACAGUAUCCAAUCAGCGACACUAGAUGGAGGUGGCGCAGAUUGGAUAACAUCUCAAUCUCUGUCUGGAACUCACGUGUCCCUUGCUUUGAUGAUGAAUCUAGUCGUUUGAUGGCUACUGCACCGUAUUCAAUGUAUCCUUUAUACACAGUACCAAAUCCCCCUGAACCAAUAAUAUUUUGAUCAUCAAAGUGUCCUGUUGCUUCGUUGAUUUCGAAAAAUGUAAACCGUCGGCAAAGAUCAGUAGGAGUGAUGAAGAGAUUGUAGUCGUGGACCUAGAUGUUUGUGAUAUUAGAGUCCAGGAGGAUUUUUCCUCACUCUUGCUAGGGUCCUUGACUCGCUUCUGCUUGAAAGCAAAGAAAUAAAGAAUAAGAGAGCAAGCAAACACUGCACCUAUGGAACCUCCAACGAUGGCUAUAACCGUAAGUAUUGAUGAUCUUUUGCCCGUUCUUCUGUCUUGUAGACUUGGAUGUUGUUCUGCUGGUGGAGGAGCCACUGUUGGCUCAGGGUUGAAUCCUGCAAGAUUUCCGUCUGUUGUAUUCAGCUUGAAUAUUUCCAAGCCAUUCAAGAUUGCAUCAGCAUAAGUAGGUUUCAGUUCCAUGUUAGGGUGUAGUUCGAGCCACAAGCCCUGCUUGCUCUGGCUCCCUGAGGGACCAGCACGAUGUAGUCUUUGUAAACUGGAAUGCCGUUGCCACCGCUCAUAUGGAUCACAUCUGCAUCAUGGCUGUGCUAUUUGAUUGUUGAUGAAUAUUAAAAAUACCUGUUGAUUUUCAGUUUUGAACUCCAUUCGAGUCUCACAAAAGUGGAGUCUAAGGAGAUAAUUGAAACCAGCAUCAACUGGGAAGAUCCAUGUGAGAUUGUAAUUCAUGUUAAGAAGUGGUUCAGGACCCAUAGAACGCAUAGUACUAUAUACCAUAACAGGUGCGGAGUAAGCUGGCGUUUUGGUUGUGUACUCUAUCUUGACGCCUGAGUGAUAUGGAGUGUUUCCAGCUUUUCCAAAGAGAUACCCUGAAUCUUGAUGCCAUGUCCUGUACAUUCCAGUCUUGUCUCCAGUGCUGCUGAUAUCUUGCCCCCCAACAUUCAGUCGAUAAACUGUCUCAAGCGCAGUUGUGUUACCCAGAUAGAAGGGGGCGGUGCCCACAUAGGUCGGUGGAUUAUCAUCGCCACGAGCAUAGAAGCUGUCUGGCAUGGAAACGAUUUCGAUACCAUUAACGAAGGCAAAAGAUGCUGGAGACGGAAUGAAGGUUAAUUCAAGCUUCUGGUUGUCCCACACGGUGAUGAUGAACUCUUUGGUGAAGUAGUCAACUGGAGGUCUUAUAGCAGAAACUGUAAGAGAGGCACUAAAGUUGUUUAGUAGCUUGUAGUUGUUGGCACUAAGCGAAAAAUAGGAUUUGGAUAUAUCAAGAUUUGAGUAAGAAGAUGGAUAAAAGUAGAGACGCACAAAUUUUGGGCCAGGCAAGACUGGAAUUGUGUAAGUGAAUUUAGAGUGAAGAAUACGGGCUGUCAUGUAUGGGACUUGGUCGACAGAGGGGUCUUGAGUGGAGGCUUCAAACACAGAUGAGGCUUCUGGGGGGUUAGAGGCAGCAAACUUAGACUGGGAAUCACCAUCCCAACUGCGACCAUCUGGAGAUGACAAAUUAGAGGAUGCACCACAGUUAAGGAGUAUUAGAUCAGUGGGGCUGUAUGGCAGCAAGUAAUCUUCAGUAGCAGUAGCAUAGAGGAAGAGAUGGAGGGGAGGGAGAAGGUAGAGAGCGAUGAAGAUGGACAUUAUGCUAUUUCUUUUGUGGAAUAAGUUGGAGUAAGAAAACCUAUGCAUUAAAUGCAAAGAUUUUGAUUUAAGGGAAGAUGAUCAGUGGCGUUUUUGUCUCCAUACAGUAUUUUUGCUCAGUUGAGAAUAAUCCAAUAAUAUAUUUGAAGCCCGGGGAGUUGAAAAUUCGACGAUAUGGCUAAUGGGACAUAUUGGUCGCUGUACUUAGUCAGCUUUGGAUGGCUGCUUUCCAUUGUGUGGUUCUGAAUUCUGCAAUAAAGACGCCAUGAAUAGUCUAUGAAACUUAUUUUUCUUUUCUUUUUUCCUUAACUUUUUCAUUGUUGGAUUAAGAUCACACACACCACUUAAUUUCUUAUUUGAUUAAUAUUCUUAACGAGGUUGAAUGUAUUUCAGGUUGGUGUUCACCAUAACAAAUGCAGUAAUCACAGCUCCGAGAUUAGGAUUCAAAAGGUGCAAAGCUUCUUUUUCCUUAUGGCCACCGCCUUGAUACAAUGAUUGUCGCAAGUGCAAGGUCUAUAUAAUCCUCACCGAUGCCUUCUGUCCAAUACACACACAUCCUCAUUAUAGGCUGGCCUUGCUUCAGUCUUCAAUAAGAAACAUCGUUCUUGUUCCUCAUGAGUAGCCCUUUCACUCGCCUCAGAUCCAUGAAGUCUCAUUUACUCCUUUCUAUUAUUCUUCUUCAAUGCUGUCUUACUGAUAAAAUGCUCUUGUUUUUGGUGUUAUAUAUUCUUCAAUGCUGUCUUACUGAUAAAAUGCUCAAAUGAGACUUCAUGGAUCUGAGGCGAGUGAAAGGGCUACUCAUGAGGAACAAGAACGAUGUUUCUUAUUGAAGACUGAAGUAUAUAUAUAUAUAUAUAUAUAUAUAUAUAAAAUUUUACACAGGCUCAAAGGAUCGACCUAUUUCUUUUUGGUUCAUGAGUGUGCCUUUUUGGGCUGAGUUUAAAACCAAAAAUCUUCUCAUCUGGUAUAGUAAUCGCUUAAUUACUACAAAACUUGGUGGUAAUGAGAAAUCUUUCUUCCCAUUAAUCGAAGAAUAAUGGAUUUACCUCUCGACAUACUUGGUGCCGAAUAAAAUCAUUAGCACUAGUGAAGAAGAGGCAAGCUGUCCUCUCUUCCCUGGAGAUGGCAAUUUGUUCUCUCUCAUCCUGUUAAGCUUGAUUUCCAUAAUUGAGGGGAAAUGAAUGGAGUUCUCGGUGGAUGAAAAAUAAUUGGAAUAAUAAAUGAAAUGAAAUUGUGUUUCAUUGUUGAAACAAUCAUGCUGAAAUCACUUCAAUCCAAGUCUCUACAUUGAAUAGGUCUAGCAAAUGUUCUUAUCUUGUACAAACAGGACACCUUAAGCAAACCUGUGAACAUUCCAAGAUCUUUUUUUCAACUUCAUAGCUUGCAAUAGAUUAAUGAGGAAGCUUCUCCAUUAAUUAGUGCACGAGAAAGACAAUCACUAGACAUCGUAUCGACAAAGCAAUUGCUUGCUAUUUUCUUCAAUUAUUAAUCAUCAUAAAGUACAUACAAAUUUUAUUGCUAUACUCAUCGGAAGCAUGAGUAGAAAGAAAGAAGAAAGAUUCAGACAGUCACCCUAGACGUAGAGCAAACUGAUCCCACCCAUCUUGGUGGAGCUCACAUAGACGGACUGGUUCACCUUGCGCUUUAUGGGUGGCUAUUCAAAUCGAAACCCACACAGACAGAUAAAGAACUGACCCCUUUGUCUCCUCUUCCUCGAUCAACUACCACGUUUGCACCGAUUGUAGUAAGUGCAGGGCCGAGUGUUAGGAUUGAUCGGUUUUGCACAGUCGCCAUAUAUUUGUGCAUUGCAAAUUGGUUGUCGUUCUAAACUAUCAUAGCUAAGAUAGUUACCCUGAGAGGCCAGUAGUCUCUGAUGCACUUCAGAUUCCAUAGAGAACUCCUCUUCAUUACCUUCACCGAUUGUGGCAUUGAAAAUGGGACUCGAGUUGCUUUCAAGAAAGGCAGCUGUAGAAGCAGAUGUGAUCACAAAAACCAGCAGGAUAGUUAAAGAGAGCCACCGGAGGAAUUCAAUACUUACGCUAGGCCUCAUCUCUUUCUGUCUGUACCCUUCUGUUACAGAGUUUGAAGAGCACUAAAUAGACGUCACUGCUAAGAAGGCUUCAAACUCUGGAUAUGGAGUGAAAGGCCAGCUUUUUUCCAUUGACUUGCUUUUUUGUGAAGACUUGGGUCUUCACAUGACUGUGAUUUUGACAUUGUGCGCUCUAAUUGCUUACAGCUGGCAAACUGGUUGGAUAAUGGUCCUUGCCAAUUCAAUCGUUUCCUCAUUGUUCGUUUGCAACCAUGAACAUUUAUUUUAGUGUUUGAUAGUGGUUUUUUAUAAUAUUUUUUAUUUAGAAAAAUAUUAAAAUAAUAUUUUUUAAAAUAUAUUUUUAAUAUCAAUAAUGCAAACACUCAUCAUGCAGCGUUUUCCGAGGGACAUCUAAUAGUUGUCGGAAACCAUGUGCGCGUCAAGUCCAUGGGCCAUCAGCUGAUGCUAAGUUUUGAAAAAAUUGCAAUUAUUUUUUUAUGGGAUCCUGCUAACAAACACUAGCAUUUCUCUUACUUUUAUGUAAUUAAAUGGUAGGGUAUAGCAGUUCUUACAAAGGGACCAUAGAAAUGUCUUUUGAACUGGUGCUAUUGGCAUACCCAUAAAUCUAUUGGCGUAACAUUUUGGAAAUGGAAUGUCAAGGUUUUUUCUUCUCUAACAUGAAAGCUUUCUCCUUUUUUUUUCGUUUAUUAAUAUUCAUAAAUUAAGAGAAAAUGUUGAUUUUUCAAUUGAAUAUACGUAAGGUAUGAAUUUGCUAUGCGUUUAGAGUACAUGAAAGACUUAUUUAUAUUAGGCUUUUUGAACUUUAAAACUAAUUAAAUUCUGCUUGAAGUUGAAAAUAUGUCAUGGAUGACGUGAUAACGUGAUAAGCACUUUUUGAAUAAUUGAAGGGGAUGGAUGUUUUGUUAAGGAUGACGUCAAUAUACACCCACACACUAUGAAGUUGAUUCAAAGAAUCAGGAUUAUAAUCUGGAUCUUCGUUAGUGAAUUUAUCCUCAUCAAAACUUGAUAUUUCGUACGAGGUUUCUUCGAGUGUUUCUUGUAUUCUGCCUUUGACCUUGAUGAUGCUAAGGUUUACUUGAAUUCGAUUUUAAGAGGUUAGAAAUGUAAAUUGUCUUUUUUAAGUUGGAGAUGAUAGGAAUUCUUGUAGCUAUGGAGUUUGUUGAGAUUGUAGCAAUAAGCUUGAGUUUCUCUGAAUUGGAUCCAUCAUUUGACUUUGAUGUAUCCCAUGAGAUCUGAAGAGUAACUAAUAUCUUUAUUUACAUCAUGCAUUGUAAUGAAAUUCCAAGAUAGCAUGAGACACCAAAGGUAGAGAUGAAAUUAUACAAAGAAACGGGAAUUGAAUUCGAAGGCAUUUUUACUAUAAACAAUUCCAAUUAUUGUGUGAUUUUUUAUGGGAGGAUUUCACUUAUAGAAGAAAAAUAUUUCCACCAAUUGUUUGAGAACCAAGUUGGUAAAUUUUUUGGACAAAUGUUUUAUCAAAAUGGAUGAACCAUAAAUGAUCAUGGUUUUAGAAAAAGAAAAUCAAACCAAGCUCGUUGAUAAUCAAAAUAAUUAUAUCUUUGAGAUUAGUAGUUUCAAGAAAAUCUUUCAAGGUGUAGGGACUUUGACUCAAUUAAGUCUUGAAAGGUUAAAACCUUUUAAAUUUUUAUUUUUGAAAAAAAUGGAUUAUUUACAUCUUCAUUAUGAGUCACUUCAGCAGAGUUAAUGUCAAACCAGAACAAACUCAUAAAAUUAUCUUGUUUUCAAUAGUUUUUCUAUAAUGAACUAAAAUUGAAAGGGGAAGAUAUAAAAAAUGAUCUUAUUUAGGUUUUCAUUGUAAAAUUAUUUUUUAAUUGGACAAAUAUGAAGAUUUAUAGUUUCUUGACUUGGAAGGUUUAAUAAGUUAAUUUUUUCAGGGAAGAUUUGGAGGGUAAUUAACACAAGUGGAAGCACAAGCAAAUACACAAUAACAAGUAGGGUAUAAAAGUUGUUACAAGGGACCAUAUAUAUUGUGUUUUGAACUGGUGCUAUUGGCAUACCCAUAAAUCUAUUGGAACAAUAUUUUGGAAAUAAAAUGUCAAAGUUUUUUUUUCUUCUUUAACAUGAAAACUUUCUUUUUUCCAUUUAUUAAUAUUCAUAAACCAGAGAGAAUGUGAUUUUUCAAUUGAAUAUAUAUAAGGUAUGAAUUUCCUAUGCCUUGAGAAUGCACCAGAGUGGUGGCCCGCGCGACACCACGGAUCGGACCAAACAUGUUUUUCAAUAUGAAAAAAAUCUUUAGGAGAUAGUUGGGUUUUUAAAAUAAAAAAAAAAUAGAUAAUAAUGUUAAACCUUGAUUAAUUUUAUAAUAUAAUAAAAAAAUUAAGCAACAAUAACAAAGAAAUAAAAAAUAAUUACAUACAAAACUGGAUUAACACACGAAACUCGUGACCUAACACAUGAGAUCAGGAUAACCCUAUAGGAAUAUGAUACCAGUAAAAAUCCAUUGUUGAAAAAGGACAUGGAAAAAAAAAUCAAAGGCAAUAAAAUAUUGAAGGAUGAAAUUAAGAAAAAAAGUUCAAAUAAAAAUAAAUCAAAAAAAUAAAAAUCAAAUCUAACAUAAAACAAAAUUAACUAAAAUAUUGAGAGAUACAAUUAAAAAAAACAAUUCAAUUAAGAGAAAGAUAUAAAAUAUUGAGGGAUACAAUUGAAAAGAUAAUUUAGUUAAGAGAAUAAUUAAAAAUCAAAAUAAAAAUAAUAGGGAUCAAAUCUAAAAUGUAAACAAACCAAAUGAGAAUUAAAUUGAAAGAAAAUUUUAAAUGCAUGCAUAAUCUAAAAUAAAUGAAAUAACAAUAAAAAAAAAGAAAUCAAAUCUAAAAGAAAAAUAAAUUGAAGUGCUAUAUAAAAUCUUACUUUUUGUUACCACACAAGCUCUCUAGAAAUUGAUCGGCAAUAUCACAAGGAUAAAAACACAAUUAUAAAAGCUAGAGCUUGGCUGUCAAACGAUACCUCAUGUGUUGUCUAAUCAAAACAAAAGUACUAACCCGUGACCGUAUAAAUUGCAUGUGCAACUGUUUUUUUUUUUAAAUAAAUUAAUAUAAUAUAUACCUAAAUACUAAAGUGCAUUUUAUCGAACUUGAUAAUCACAAAAAAACCAAAAACAAGAGACAAAAACAAAACCCCUUGACCAAGGGCAAAGACAAUUCAAAUGCAAGGACACUUCAGUUUUUCACUGUGCAUGUGAAAAGGAAUACUUGAAAGUGACCCUCUCCACUAGUCCAUUACUUUUUAUUUAGAAGGAUAUAAUGGUUAUUUUACCAUGAAAAUAAAAAAAAAAAAUUAAUAUACCCUACUUCCAAAGCCAGCAAAAUCAUUAUCUCACUAUUCCAAUCGACAUUAACAAUGAGUUUGGCUGUACAAUAAUAAACCUAUACUAAAAUGGGAGCUCUUUUAGUCUCUUCUAAUGAAAGACUUAUUUACAGGAGGCUUUUUUAACUUUAAAUCUAAUUAAAUUAUGCUUGAAGUUGAGAAUAUAUCUUGGAUAACGUGAUAUAUACACUUUUUUAAUAAUUGAAGUGGCUGAAUGUUUUGUCAAAUAUUAUUGAAUAAUUAAAUUAGGUGGAUUUUCAUAAAGGAUGACGUCCACAUAUAUAAAAGAUUCUUUUAUAUCCAUGUGUGUGUGUAACUCAGAAGAUUAGGACCAUAAUCUGGAUUUUCAUUAGCGAAUUCAUCCUCAUGAGAACUUGAUAUUUAUACAAGGCUUUUUGGAGUUUUUUCUUGUUCUGACUUUGAGCUUGAUGAUGCAAGGCUUUCUUGAAUUCGACUUUUAGAGGUGAGAAUUGUAAAUUGUCGUUCUUGAGAUGGAGUCGAUGGGGAAUGCUUGCAGCUAUGGAGUUUGAUGAGAUUGUAGCCGAGCAUGCACAACUUGAGAACAAGCUUGAGUUUUUCUGAAUUGGGUCCAUCGUUUGACUUCGAUUUUCCUCAUGAGAUCUAAAGAGUAACCAAUACCUUCAUCUACAUCAUUUAUUAUAAUGAAGUCCCAAGAUAGCAUGGGACACCAAAGGUUGAGAUGAAAUAAAAAGAGGCAUGAAUUGAAUUCAAAGGUAUUUUUGUUGUCAACAAUUCCUAUCUUUAUAUGAAUUUUUAGGGAGAAUCUUACUUAUUGAAGAAAAAUAUUACCACCAAUUGUUUGAGAACUAAGUUGGAAAAUUCUUUGGACAAUGUUUUAUCAAAAUGGAUGAAUGAUGAAUGGUCAUAGUUUUUUAGAAAAAGAAAUUAAACCAAGCUUGUUAAUAAUCAAAAUUACUGAUUGGUAGUUUUGAGAAAAUCUUUCAAGGUGCAGGGGUUUUGAUUCAUGUCUUGAAAGGUUAAAACCUUUUAAAUUUUUAUUUUUAUUUAAAAAAAAAAAAAACAGGAUUGUUUACAUCUUAAUUAUGAGUUAUUUCAACAAAGUUAAUGUCAACCAGAAUAAACUUAUAGAAUUGUCUUGUUUUCAACAUAUUUUCUAAAAUAAAUUGAAAUUGAGAGGGGGGAAUAUAAAGAAUGAUCUUAUUUGGGUCUUCAUUGUAAAAUUAUUUUUUAAUUGGACAAAUAUGAAGAUAAUAGUUUCUUGACUUGAAAGGGUUAAUGCAUUUUUUAGGGAGGAUUUAGAGAGUAAUUAACAUAAGUGGAAGUACAGCAAAAAACCAAUAGCAAGAGAAAGAAAUAAUAGUUGAAAGAGGAUGAGUAAAAGAAUCCUAAUUUAUAGUUUUAUUGAUGAAGAGAAAAAUCCACUAUUUUUUUUUGCCCCUUUAAGAUAUUUAGAAUCUUUAAAAAGUUAAAACCAAACUAAACAAAUUAAAAAAUCCCAAAGAAAAGUAACAAAAUUCCUAAACAAACUAAGAGAAAUAAAAUUAUCAUUCUCAAUAUUUAAUUUCCUGAACUAGAUAGAAAAAAAUAAAAUCACCAUAAAGAAAAUAUUUUUCUAAACUAAAUAGAAAAUAAUAAUAAUAAUAACUAAGAAAUUUUAUUUUCAUAAAAAUCCUGGCAUCAACAAUAAUGUUGUUGAAGGUGCAUUUUAAGAUUAAACAAACAAGGGUGUUUUGAGAGAUUAAAAAUAAUUUAAGUGAGGUGUUUGGACUGAGUGAUGUUGAUGAAAGGAUUCAAAAUUGAUUAUUUGAGACAAAAACUAGCCUCACAAUAGGAGGCCAUACCCUCCUUAAAGUAUCUUGAAUGCUUGAUGUUGUUGCUUGAAUUGGUUUUAAUGGUGUAAGAGUAUUUGAUUCUUUUAACUUCUUGACCGGGAUGCUCAUUUUGAGCCUAGUAAAGACUCUUUGACUUUUAUGAAUUCAAUCUUGUAAAAGUAUCUAAGAUUUGUAAAAAUAUCUAAAACAUAAUUCAGGCAUCUCAUAAACCUUUAAAGCUGGGUUUUAUCCUUGGUUUUUUCUACGGAUUUAUCAAUAAAUUUUAGUGAUCUAGUGAUUAGAGUUAUUGAUUCUUGAUACAUGUUGUAUCCUAAAAAAUAUAUUUUUAAUUAACAUCUUUAAGGUUGAGACAACUAAUCUAUUUUGUUUGAUAAUAUUGAGAAGCUUUUGUAAGUUUUCGAAAUGUUUGGUUAUUAAUUUUAAAAAUAAAAAGUCAUCAUCUAUGUAUAUAAUCAUAAAUUUUAAAUACAGAUUAAAGAUGUCAUUUAUAAUGGUCUGAAGUUUUAAAUGAGUAGUUCAAAAGGCAUUACAUCUCAUUUGUAAUGAAUAAAUGUAACAAUGAAUGUUGUUUAGUAAUGAUUUUAUUAUUAUUAUUAAAUUAGACUUGCUAGAAUCCUGACCUUAUGUCAGAUUUUGAAUAUAUUGAAGCAUUUUAAAGUCUCAUCUCUCUUAUCAUCGUGUAUUGGAUAUCUAAUAUAUUGAAGCACUUUGUUGAGAGGCUUGUAAUUGAUGACAUGUCUUAGUGCACACUAUACCAUUAAACAAUUUUAUUGACAGAUUAAUUUCGUCGGUGUAAGGCAUGACAUCUGUCGGUAAAAUUAUUACCGAUGGUCUCAUCGAUGAAAUUCGUCCGUCGGUAUACUAAUCGCCGGUAAUUUCCUAUUCCGUCGCUAAUGUUGUCGGAAUUAAAAAAAAAAACCAACCACCGCCGGUCUUACAAACGGUGACACGCUGCAAAAACAAAAUUUCCCACGAGAACAUUACCGACGGAAUAUAUCGGUCUACAUUUUUAACGGUAAUCAUCAACGGAAUAUCCAUCGGUGAUGGUGGCAUGACGGUAAAUAUUUUAGAACUCUGUAAAAUACCAACAGAAAUAUUCCGUCGGUAAUAGUAAUGGUAAACACUGACGAAAUAUGUCCAUCGGUGAUUAUGGCAUGGGUGGUAAUUGUUUGGCAACUCUCGGUAAAAUACCGACGGCCAGGAUCCGUCGGGAAAGUCGUCGGCAUGUAUUUAUAAUAUAUAUAAAAAAUAAUUUAUUAAUAGUAAAAAAGCUUAAUAAACAAAUAAAAUUGUAUUAAACAUUAAAAAUAUAAAAAUAAUGUUAAAUAUUAUUCAUCCAAAUAUUCAUUACAAAUUUAAUGUGUUUAAAAAACAAAAUUAAACUAGAAUAGCGGUAGAGCUAGAGGAGGAGGAGGAGGAGGAGGAGGAGGAGGAGGAGGAGGAGGAGGAGUUGGUUGUUCCCGGGACCGUACGACCAAAAAGGAGCUGCACAUGUAUCAUCACCCAUCCUUGAUAAUUACUCCAUGACCAUUUGAUGGAGUUGAUCAUAAUUCAUCGAGAGUUGUUCAUAUUGUUGUUUCAAGGCCAUGAACUUCUCAGACUGGGUGCUCGAUGCUGAUGGAGAGCUCCUAACGGUUGAGACACUACGGGUUGAUCGCAAUUUUUCGGUCGUAGUGUUGGAGAGCCUGUGGACUCAAUUUUUUUUGGGACCACUAGACGAUCCCACCUCCAUCCACUAAUCCGAAUCAAAAUCCGGAUAGAUCGAAGGAUCGUCCCCAUAUCUCUCCCUCAACCGUCUAUUAUAGGUCUCCUGAAAUUUUUUAAAAAAUCAUCAUAUUCAAUUCAAGAAAAUAAUAACUUACUAAAUAAAAUGAUUGAACGAACAUACUACGAAGUGCUGAGCACGGUUGUCCACAAACUACUGCACCCCUUUUUGGCGAUCUUGACUCCGCACAUGCAUCUCUACAAACAACUCCAUUGGACGUAGCUUAUAAGGAAAAAAUAGGUUGCAAUUAAGUUAAAUAUAUUUAUAAGCAACGACAAAUUAAUUAAUGAUAUAUCUCAUUAAAAUUAAUCUUACCAUCCGCUUUGCAUGUGUGCUGAACGGGACGGAGCCGUCGGUGUGCAUGGUCACCAAACCAUGAAUUUACCAGUUCCGGUUGUGGGCGCCGAAUUGUGAGCACCAUGAUAACCACUCUAAGGUCACGUGCUCAAUAUAUGUUGUCCAUAUAUCUCUCGAGAUGAAUGGCAGUUUGAAUUCCCGCCAAACCGCUACCUCAUUCCAUCCUUUAAGACCGUUAUCCCUCGCAUGUCUUUUUGAUUUUUUUUAUUGAACCAACCAGUUUAACUCGGUUUUUUUGGUUUGGCUAAGUUUUUUAUUCUGACUUGGCUCAGUUUUUUCGGUUUUAGGCUUAUAAACAUAACCGAACCAAUCAGUUUUUUAAAAUUCUAAUCGGUUUAAUAAGUUUUUUUUACAGUUCGGUUUUUUCGGUUAUUUUUUUUAUGGUUCUCUCGGUUUAAUCAAUUUUUUUAUUUUCUUGCUUACCCUUACAUAUAGGUAGUGAAAGGGAAAUUACGAAUUAUACAGAAUUGAACAAAAAAAUAGAAGGUCAAUUUUUAAAAUAGAAUGCCCACUCCGGCGUGAAAAAUGGAAUAUUAAAGGCAAAUACAUGUUGUUGGCAAAGUUCCAAGCCUGGGGUCCAGUUUCAUGCAAACAUCUAAUGCACGUUAUGAGGCAACAAAUAAAGCAGGAAGAGAAUAGACUAAAAAGAAAUCUAUAAUGUUAAAUCUAUGAUGAAAUUUAUUGGUCUAAGAUGCUAAAAAAUUAACAUGUAUUUAAACUUAUAUAUAUUAUAAUACCUCGAAAAUAUAGAGUUGAUCAAGUUCAGAAUAUGUGGACAUGCUUUUUAUAAAUUCAAAACUAGUAGAGGAAAGACUCAUAUCGUAUAUAGAAAACUUAGAUAUUUUUCAAUUAUACCUAGAAUGCAAUGACAUCAUCAUUCACAAGAUUUUGUGGAUGUUUUAUUAUAUGAUAACAUCAAAAUAUAUUGAAAGAUUAUGUAUAUAUCAUUAUGAAUAGUGGAGAUAUGAUACAAUUAAAUGAGAAUUUUAUAUAACUAGAUAAAAAUAUGAAAUAAAAAGACUAUGUGGAUGAUCUAAUAUAUAUUUUUAUAUACCAUUGAGACAUUCUAGAUCUAAAAAGAGGUCUUGUCGUGUCAAAUUAGACGAACAUCUUAGGACCAUGUCUUUUAUCAAAUUGUUAGAUUUCCCGGAUUAGGUAUCAAAACUGAAUAUUGUUAUUUGGGUUAAUUUUUUUUUUAAUUUUUUCAAGGUUUUUUUUUUUGGAUUUAUUAUUUAAUUUGAUUUAUUAUUUUAAUUUCUUUUGCUUUUUUGUAUUUCUAGUUGUUUUCUAAUAGAUGUAGGGCUUUUUUGAUCUAUUUAUAGGUCUUAUAAACCUUUUAAAAGAUAAACUUAUUAGGUUUAUUUUUAGAUAAAUAAAUCAUAAAUUUGUGUUUCACAUAUAUAAUUUUUUUUGUUCAUUAAAUUUUAUUGUGUUUUAUGUAUUGUUACUAUUCUUAUAGGUCUCUGCUGCAUCAACCAUGCUUUGAGUUGGCUAAUUGUUAUUUUUUAUUUCAUAUUAAGUAUAAACAGGUAGUGAAAGGGAAAUUAAGAAUUAUACAGAAUUGAACAAAAAAAUAAAAGUUCAAUUUUUAAAAUAGUAUGCCCACUCCGGCGUGAAAAAUGGAAUAUUUCACAUCUAAUGCACGUUGUGAGGCAACAAAUAAAGUGGACCAAUUGGAAAUGAAAGAAGUGACCUUUGAACAAAGACUUCCAAGUCGUUGGCAUUAUGCAAUCAAUAAUUCAACAUUAAAAAAUCCCAAGUUGUUGCCUUUGAAAUGUCUAAUGCACGUUAUGAGGCAACAAAUAGAGUGGACCCAUUGGAAAUGCAAGAAGACCUUUGACAGGUCGUCUGUGCUGUGUAGCAGUGACCUCUGAAAGACAUCAAAGACUUCCAAGUCGUUGGCAUUAUGCAAUCAAUAAUUCAUCAUUAAAAAUUUUGGUAACUUUCUGGAAAUGAGACGUGAGAUUUUUCGUCCUUAACAUGUGGACCUUUCUUUAUUGACUUUCAUAAAUUUAGAUAUAACUAGUAAAUUUAAGUUGUUUUAUCUUAUUAAUUUAUACACUCAUUUUAAUUCUGUACCUCCUCGAUUCCUCUGGCAUGCAUCAUCACUCCGUAAUCAUUGUAUAUGGGAACCCCAUUUCCAUCAGCCCAAGAAAUUAUAUCUGCGUAAAGCUCGGCAGUUUGAUUAGCGAUAUAUAUUUGAAAGAUCAUAUCGCCUUCCCGCAAUAUAAUCGGUAUAAACUGACAGAAAUGAAGCCUAAAAAGAUAGGUGAAUGUGGAUUGGACCGGAAACUGCCAAGUCAUAUUGUAUUCCUUAUUUACAGUAGAAUUGGGUCCCAUGGUCCUAGCAGUUCGAUAGAGUACAUCAGGUGCAGCAUAGCGAGUGAGGUUAUUAUACUGAAGUUGAAUAGUGCCAUUAUAUUGAUAAACGCUCGGUCUAGCAUCCGUCAAGUAAUCGUCGUCGUUUAGCCAACUUUGAAUAGUGCCGUUAUUUUGAUGUUGUGGAUGUUUUGUUAUGAAUAUUUGGUGAAGAUAAGAUACAACUAAAUAAGAAUUUUAUACAACUAGAUAAGGAUUGAAACAGAAAAACUAUAUUGAUAAUUUAAUAUAUAUAUUUAUAUACCAAUAAAACAUGUUUAGACCUAAAAAAAAGGUCUUGUCCCUCAAAUUGGAUAAACAUCUUAAAAUUGCAUCUCUUAUCAAAUUAUUAGAUCUCCAGGAAUUAUGCACCAAACCAAAAUAUUGUUGUUUGGGUCAAAUUUAUUUAUUUUUCCUAGUUUUUUUAUUUAUUAUUUAAUUUGGUUCUUUAUUUUAUUUUAUUAUGUUCUUUUGUAUUUCUAGUUGUUUUCUAAUAGAUGUAGGAUUUUUUUUUAAUCUAUUUAUAGGUUUUAUAAACCUCUAAAAAAAUAAACUUCAUUAGUUUUAUUUCCAUAUAAAUAAAUCAUUAAUUUAUAAUUUACAUUGUAAUCUUUUUCGCUCAUUAAAUUUUAUUGUGUUUUUGUAUUGUUACUAUCCAUAUAGGUCUAGGCUGCAUCAACCAUGCUUUGAGUUGUCUAAUUGUUUUUUUUUUUUUUUCAUAUUAAGCAUAAACAAAAAAAUAAAAUAAAAGGUCAAUUUUUAAAAUAGGAUGCCCCAUCCGGAGUGGAAACUGGAAUAUGAAAGGCAAAUACAUGUUGGUGGCAAAGUUCCAAGCCUUUGGGCCCAGUUUCAUGUAAACAUUAGGCAACAAAUAGAGGGGACCAAUUGGAAAUGGAAGAAGACCUUUGACAGGUCGUCUCGUCUGUGCUGUGUAGCAGUGACCUUUGAAAGGCAUCAAACACUUCCAAGUCGUUGGCGUUAUGCAUCAAUAAUUCAACAUUCAAAAAAAAAUCCGCACUUUCCAAGAAAAUUAACUUUCAAGACAUCAUAAUCAGACUUCUGCAUAUUUCCGUGGAAUUUUAUUUUUUAUUUUUUUUAAAAUAUGGAAAUAUAUUGGUAACGUUUUAGAAAUGAGACGCCAGAUAUUUUUCGUCCUUAACAUGUGGACCUUUCUAUAUUGAUUUUCAUAAAUUUAGAUAUAACUAGUAAAUUCACGUUGUUUUAUCUUAUUAAUUUAUACAUUCAUUUAAUUAUUAUUUAAUAUUUGUUUUUCUUAUUUUCUCUACAAUAUCACUUGAUAAGUUGGCAAGGAUAAUGAUGUCCAAUAUAUUUCAGAAAAUAAUACAUGAAAGUCUUACAAUGUUGUUAUCAAUUUACUAUUUUACUAAUACCAUACAUCUACAUGCAAUAAAUAUAUUUUUCAUUUUUUCUUAUUGUGUGGAAUUUUUUUUUUAUAAUACUCAGAAAAAAAUAAUAAUUAAAAGAAUAAGGACCAAACUAGAACAAUUUUAUUUUUGUUUUUAAUGCUUUUUUAACUUAAUUGUUUUCAAUUUUAUCCAUAUAUAUUUUAUUUAAUUUAAUUAUUUAAUCUAGUUUGGUCCUCAUUCUUUUUAUUACUAUUUUUUUUAAAUUUUAUUUCUCAUCAUUUUAUUUCGUUUAAUUUUUGUGUCCAAUUUUGGUACUCAUUCUUUGAUUGCUUUAUAUAUAUACUAAAUAUAUAUAUCAUUUUCUUAAUUUAUUUUAAUUUUCAAUUUAGUCUCUUAUUGUUUUCUUUUAUUUAAUUUUUAUGUCAGAUUUGGUCCUUAUUUUUUAUUGUUAUUUAUUUAUUUCUUAUCUAAUUUUGGAUGAUUAGGGAUUUUGCUUGGUAUUUUUUAGAGUUUGCCUUUUAUGAUUUAAUCCUGAUUUCAUUACUCAAGUCACUAGUUUCGAGGAUUAGCCCGAUUUAAAUUUGAUAUUUUUUAUACCUUUUUUUUAAAAUUGAUUAUUUUUUAAUUUUAUCAUUUAAUUUAGGUUAUUAUGUCUUGAGUUUCAUAAUUUUUUCUACUUUUCUUUUUCUAUAUCAUCCUAUGUCAUGGGUUUGCUGGGUGAACUCAGGGUCAUUCAAGUUUUAAUUUCAUUUAGUCUUGAGUUUCAUGGUUUUUAUUUAAUUCUUUUAUUUUAUCAUUCCACAUUAAAUUAUUGGGUUUUGAGCUUCAUGGUUUUUUCCUCAUUCUUUUAUGUGAGUUUAUCUUGAUCUCAUAUCAUAGGCUUAGAUUUUUUAUUGCGUUUUUAUUUCAUCAUUUGAAAUUACAUUAUUGGGUUUUAAGCUUUGUGAUUUUUUUUAAUUUUUUUUUAUGGGGUUAUCCUGAGUCGCAGGUUUGUCAAGUUAACCCGAGUUGACUUCGAGUUUUUUUUUUAUAAUCCUUUUAUUUUUCUUCGGUCUUUUUUUCUUGGUCCUUUUUAUUUUAAAUAAUUUUUUAUCCCGAUCACAUUUUGCGGGUUGCGAAUUAGUCGAGUGAACCUUGGCUCACUCAAAUUUUUUUACAUUGUUUCUUUUUAAAUUAUUUUUUAUUUCAAUUUAAUUUUUUGAUAUUAGAUUGUUAGGUCAUGAUCUUAGUGAUUUUUUCCACUUUCCUUUAUACGAGGUUGACUCGAGUUACGAGUUAAUCAAGUUAACCAGGGUGGCCUCAUUUAUUUUCUUGAUAUUUUAUUUAUUGAUUUAACUUCAAUCUUUUUUAUUUAAGUCUUUUUUUUAAAAAAAUAUUUUUUUAAUUCUAAUCUCAUAUUGAGGGAAGCGGGUAGUUAAGUGAUUUCGAGUUGACUUGUGUUUUUUUUUGAUGUUUCUAUUUUUAAAUUUUAUUUUCGAGUUUCAUUUUUUAACAUUAGGCUAUUAGGCUUGGAGCAUUAUUUUUUUUUUCGUUUUCCUUUUAUAGAAUUAUAUUAAUUUUUUAUCCUAGAUCAGAGGUUACUCAAAUUAACCUAACUUAACAUAAGUGAUCAAUGCCUUAACAUUUUUUUUUCUGUAACAUGGAUCACCAUACCAGUAAUAUAAAAAAGAGAAAUGGGGACCAAAUUCUUUUAUCUCUCUCUCUCUCUAGAGAGAGAGAGAGAUCAUUGGAGUCUAAAAGUAAAUUUGAUAUCUUCAUGAUGAAUAAAAGUACAAAAUUAGAUUAAUUGAAAUAUUAUUAGUUUAGUUAUAUAAAUAUAAAUAUUACGUAAAGUUUAUGUCAUUUAUCUACACAUAAAGAAAAUCUAAAAUCUUGGUAGAUUAAAAAUCUUUUUUCUCUUGUGAGCAUAAACUCUCUUUUUUUGUUUUUGUUUUAGCUAGAAGUGGUAAAAAAGAGAUAUACAGAGGAUAUGAGAUUGAUCAGCUCUUUUUAAUAUGCAGAGAGAUUCAAACCAUUGACGUAAUCAAGAUUUUACUAAUUAAAGGUUUUGAGCAUUUAGCUAAAUAUAUGAUACAAUAAAAUAAGAAUUUUAUACAACUAGAUAGAGAUUUGAUCUAGACAAACUAUAUAGAUGGCCUAAUAUAUAUUUUUAUUUAUCAAUGAGAUAUGUCUAGGUCUAAAAGAAGGUUAUGUAGUGUCAGAUUAAGUUAACACCUUAAAACUGCAUCUCUUAUGAGACUAUCGGAUUUUCAGAAAACACACCCCUUGCUCUUUGAUCUGGAUCACUUUGGGUGACACUUUCGCGAGUGCUAACAGUGCUCCUUGAAUGCGACUCCGCUCCACUAAACAUGUCAUCGUCAUCAGUGGUCGUGACAUCUUGAUGUGGUGAAAAUGAGCUUUUAUUUUCCAUAUUGAUCCCGUCUACACUGUUGGCAUUUUCCUCAGCAGAUUGUUGAAGCUGCAAUGCAAAUUCAAGGCCCCAAACGACAUCACCCAUUUUAGGGCGUUCAAUUCCUGAAACAUGUAAGCAACUGUUAGCAAUCUCUGCCAACUUAUUUAAAGAGACAGGGGAAACCUCGCCCUUUAAAUGUGGAUCCACGAUCUGAUCAAGGGUUCCUCUUUGGUAACACUUUCUUGCCCAGUCAGCUAAGCUUGCUUGAUCUUUCGGUGAACUUGGAAUCACUGGUGGCCUUGCACAUAGCACCUCAAACAAAACCACACCGAAUGAAUAAACAUCAGAUUUCUCUGUCAGGUGUUGCCUACGGUAGUACUCUGGAUCCACAUAUCCAAUGCUACCUCUAACUACAGUGCUAACAUGGGUUUGGGAUGUACUAGUGGGACCCAAUCUGGACAGCCCAAAAUCUGAAACCUUAGCCACCCAAUUCUCAUCUAACAAUAUGUUUGUUGACUUCACAUCACGGUGAAUGACUGUGUGCUUUGCUCCUGAAUGAAGAUAAUGCAACCCUUUAGCAGCACCGAUGCAUAUUUCUAGCCUUUGCUUCCAUGGAAGAGGAGAGUUCUUUGUUUUGUAUAGAUGUUCUCUAAGAGUGCCUCUUGACAUGUAAUCGUAUACAAGAAUCAUCUCGCCAUGAUCAUCACAGUAUCCAAUCAGCGACACUAGAUGGAGGUGGCGCAGAUUGGAUAACAUCUCAAUCUCUGUCUGGAACUCACGUGUCCCUUGCUUUGAUGAUGAAUCUAGUCGUUUGAUGGCUACUGCACCGUAUUCAAUGUAUCCUUUAUACACAGUACCAAAUCCCCCUGAACCAAUAAUAUUUUGAUCAUCAAAGUGUCCUGUUGCUUCGUUGAUUUCGAAAAAUGUAAACCGUCGGCAAAGAUCAGUAGGGAGUGAUGAAGAGAUUGUAGUCGUGGACCUAGAUGUUUGUGAUAUUAGAGUCCAGGAGGAUUUUUCCUCACUCUUGCUAGGGUCCUUGACUCGCUUCUGCUUGAAAGCAAAGAAAUAAAGAAUAAGAGAGCAAGCAAACACUGCACCUAUGGAACCUCCAACGAUGGCUAUAACCGUAAGUAUUGAUGAUCUUUUGCCCGUUCUUCUGUCUUGUAGACUUGGAUGUUGUUCUGCUGGUGGAGGAGCCACUGUUGGCUCAGGGUUGGAUCCUGCAAGAUUUCCGUCUGUUGUAUUCAGCUUGAAUAUUUCCAAGCCAUUCAAGAUUGCAUCAGCAUAAGUAGGUUUCAGUUCCAUGUUAGGGUGUAGUUGGAGCCACAAGUUCCUGCUUGCUCUGGCUACCUUGAGGGACCAGCACGAUGUAGUCUUUGUAAACUGGAAUGCCGUUGCCACCGCUCAUAUGGAUCACAUCUGCAUCAUGCUCCGCUAUUUGAUUGUUGAUGAAUAUUAAAAAUACCUGUUGAUUUACACUUUUGAACUCCUUUCGAGUCUCACAAAAGUGGAGUCUAAGGAGGUAAUUGAAACCAACAUCAACUGAGAAGAUCCAUGUGAGAUUGUAAUUCAUGUUAAGAAGUGGUUCAGGACCCAUAGAACGCAUAGUACUAUAUACCAUAACAGGUGCGGAGUAAGCUGGCGUUUUGGUUGUGUACUCUAUCUUGACGCCUGAGUGAUAUGGAGUGGUUCCAGCUUUUCCAAAGAGAUACCCUGAAUCUUGAUGCCAUGUCCUGUACAUUCCAGUCUUGUCUCCAGUGCUGCUGAUAUCUUGCCCCCCAACAUUCAGUCGAUAAACUGUCUCAAGCGCAGUUGUGUUACCCAGAUAGAAGGGGGCGGUGCCCACAUAGGUCGGUGGAUUAUCAUCGCCACGAGCAUAGAAGCUGUCUGGCAUGGAAACGAUUUCGAUACCAUUAACGAAGGCAAAAGAUGCUGGAGACGGAUUGAAGGUUAAUUCAAGCUUCUGGUUGUCCCACACGGUGAUGAUGAACUCUUUGGUGAAGGAGUCAACUGGAGGUCUUAUAGCAGAAACUGUAAGAGAGGCACUAAAGUUGUUUAGUAGCUGGUAGGUAUUGGCACUAAGCGAAAAAUAGGAUUUGGAUAUAUCAAGAUUUGAGUAAGAAGAUGGAUAAAAGUAGAGACGCACAAAUUUUGGGCCAGGCAAG
This 60020-nucleotide long non-coding RNA is filed under the name Populus tremula. RNAcentral's name for it is "long non-coding RNA (PTRE_LNC001350)". The record is from RNAcentral. Lineage: Eukaryota; Viridiplantae; Streptophyta; Magnoliopsida; Malpighiales; Salicaceae.